RNAcentral lists this long non-coding RNA (69711 nucleotides) under Jatropha curcas. RNAcentral describes it as "long non-coding RNA (JCUR_LNC001501)". The record is from RNAcentral. Lineage: Eukaryota; Viridiplantae; Streptophyta; Magnoliopsida; Malpighiales; Euphorbiaceae.
AAUAACUGAUAAAUGUAGCACACCCUGAUGCAAUUGCAGUACUACUGCACAUUAACCAGCUAAUAAAUAGAAACACAAGCAAAAUAUGGACAGAUUAAUUUGCAAGAAAAUAUAAAAAGACUAAACAGAGAAAGGUACAUUCGCAUGUAUGCAAUUAGGUCCUAACUUUUAAAAAUCUGACCAUAAUUUUCACAAAUGCUUUGAAAGAUCCUUUACAUCAGAUCUGAGAUGAAGAAAAUUAUUUAAUUGUGCAUACAACAAAUAACAAAAAAUUUUUUGGCCUGUAGAUUUAAGUGAUAACAAAAGACUAGCAGAUCAUUGCAUGAUUAGCUACAAGGGAAUUCACCUUUUUUUUUUUUUUUUCCUUUUUCUAUCUUUUUUCUUCUUUUCGUCUUUUGGUAACAAACUUCUACCACAAGCCAUAAUCCAUCUCACCAGAAGAUAAAAUCUUUGCUAGAAGUUCUAAGCCUGAGACAACACCAAUAAGUUUGACUGCAACCAUCAUACCAACUUUCACUCUCCAUAAAUUGUUUUCAACAAAAUUAUUCUCACAUUUUACACUCACCAACAUUAUCCCCUGUGCACAACUCAAUUUGGUGAAAAAUCCAGAACAAUUAUCAAUUCUAAAGAACUCUAGCUCGUCAGAUAUUUCUAUCAAAUUCAAAUAAUUAUUUCCAAAAUGUUGAAAUUCAAAAUUAUUUCUAGCCCUCCCAAGUCCUAAUCUUCCACUUAGAUCAGUCCAUUAUCAGGUAAUCAUCCUUUCCAAAUAAGCACACACAGAAAAGUAACAAAUACAAUAAAUACUAACAUUUGCUUUAUAUGUAUAGUUCACAAUUAAUUACAAGAGACAGAAAGUGCUUACGUUUUCUUCAUGAGGGCCUUCUCAGCAUAGUUUUUCUUGGCAAUCAUCUUACCCUUAAUACCCAAUGCCUGAUAUCACCAAUAGAAACCAAAUUAAAAUCCUAUUCCCGCAUGAACCAAUCAUCAUUAAAAAAAAAAAAAAAAUUGACAGAGAAAAGAAGAAGCAGACCUUCUGGGCUCUUUCAGAGCGCUUGUGAACUUCACGCGCCUCCUUCUUGCGCUUGCGCUCGAAGUGGUCGAGGCGGUAGCCAUGCCUCUUCCUGUGCAGUUCUAUGUAAUCCCCUUGCGGCUAUCAUCAAAAUAUCAAUUAUCAGUUAAUCAAAAACGAUAAAAAUAAAAAUAAAAAUAAACCAAAACUUGAAGCAUCGCAAAAUAGAGAACAACAAACCAUGGCGAAUUCACUUUCAGUAUCAGACUACAGAAAGAAGAAACCAGAGUGUAAACUAUUUUUUGCGUUAGAAGAUAGAAACCCUAACUAAAAAGUUUUCGAUUUUUAGGACUGAAAAUGGGUUUUAAUUUUCGGGUGGAGAAGUUGGGUUUUGGAUGUUACGACCGGUGCAUACCGCCAAUUAAUUGGGUCCGUGAAGACAAGUUUUGCCCUGGGCCUUUUCUUCACCCAAUUGGGCUGCAUUCUAAGUCAGGGUUAUGAAGCUAUGAAUUAGGCCCAAAAAUCUUGGCUCAAAUUAUUUACUAAUUUGGGUCAACUUAAAUAGAAAAAUUUUAAAUUUAAAACAUUUUUUUAACAGCCAAAUAAUAUUUUAUUAUUAUUAUUAAAAUUAGGAAAAGCUUAACAAGUUCCGGAAUCUAAUCUCAAAUCAAUGGUUCCCAAUACACCCAAUAUAAUCAAAGAGAGUUAAGUGAAAAGAACCCGAUGCUAAGGUUAAUCAAGAAAUAAGAGUAAACAGAAUAUUGAAGAGUAGGAAAAAUUCUUGAGAUAAGAAUACAACGCUACAAUAAAACAGCCUCCCUUGAUUCAUAAAAAAAAAAUCACUAAAUAUAAAAUUUUCAUCUGCAAAAACAUAAAUUGAUGGUAGUAUAAUCAAACAUGCAUCAUAUACUCUUAUCACAGAAUCUUUUAUGGCACUUGAAGGUUCUUUAAAAAUUAAAACAAAAAAUUUACUUAUUUUUCAAACGAAUGAUACUCAAUUUGCAAUCUAAAUUUGAUCGCAACGUACAAUUUAUAGAAAACUAAUCUUUUUUUUUUUAUUAGAUUAAGUGCAUUGAUUAGGUCAUAAAAGAAAACGAUUAACCAUUUAUAAAUCAGAUUAUAAUUAUAUGUUUCUCAUGCGUAUGAACGAGUUAAAAAAAAGAAUAAAAAUUGAGUUUAAUUAAAAAAUUCUACUAAAAUCAAUUUAAAAAGUCAAUUUUAGAUAAAUUAUACAUUUAGAGUCAAUCCAUGUAACAAAUUGGAAAAAACCAAAUCUUAAACUAAUAAGUGAGGAAAAAGUGAAAUGAGUGCAUGUGUUGGUGUGUAGUGUGAUUGGAUAUUUUGUGUUGAAGGUGAAAUUAUGAGCAGAGGCACAGCUCAGGUGGGUCUUAAUAUUUGAAAGCACAUGCAAAAUUAUGUUAAUCAUUGAACUUGGUGUUCCCAAUUUGCAGUUAUAGUUAUUGAUCACAUGCCAUUAUUUUGUCCCCAGAUCGAUAAUGGGACUGUCCAUGUUUCUCAUUCCUUUCAAAUUUUCUGGAACUUCGGGUUCUAGUUUUAAAAUAAACAUUGUACCACUAUUAUUAGAUUGAAAAACAAUAUAUUUUCUAUUGUUUGAUUAUAAUAUUGAAAAUUAAUUGAAUUUUAAAAGAUUAUAAAAAUAUUUAUAAUUAUCAAGUUUCAUAUUUUAAAAUUUAUUAUUAAAUAUGAGAAGAAAAUAAAUAAAAUUGAUAAAUUAUAGUAGUUGCUAAUAAAUGAUAUUACCUCUAUUUUAUGAUAGUUGUCACAUUUGGAACUUCACAUCUCUUUAAAAAACUAUUAAAUUUGCCCAAGUUAUAAUAAAUUAUUGAAUUAAUUGAUUAUAUUAUUCUUAAUUUAAUAUUAAUUUUCUAAAAUAUCAUUAAAUUAAAGUAAUAUUUAUUGAUCAUAUACAAAGGGUAAACAUGAAAAAAAGAGAUUUAUUACUGUUUGGAACUACAAAUGUGACAAAUAUUCUGAAACAAGCUAUUUUUUUCAAAUGUGACAAGUAUUAUGGAACGGAGGUAGUACCAACCACUAAUGUUGAAGGCCAUUAACUGGUAAUCAAUAAUAAUGAGUACGGUGGACUAAUAAAUGUGUAUUUAUAAAAUUAUAAUAAAUAUAUAAAUAUUCAAAAAAUAUUUUCUUGUUUCAAAAGAGAAAAGUCAUUUUCUUUUAAAAUAAAAAUACCUUUCCUCUUAAUUUAGAAAAUAUUUAUGCUGACUAAUUUUCCUAGACACCUUAAAUAUUAGAAAAUUUGAAAAAAAUGUUUUCUAUGCAAAUUAUUUUUCAAAAAACAAAUGAAACCUUUAUUUCAAAAUUUUUUUAGUUGAUUCCAAUUAGAAUAUUUUUAGACUAGUUUACACAUCAAUUAAAGAUAUUCAUAAUCUAAAUGUACAUAUAUUGAAUGUAUGGGGUGGAUAUUCAAUGGAACAAAGUAAUUUAGUACAUGAUUAAGACAACAACAUGUUUACCUAUAUAGUUAUGUUUUUGGAAUUUGGAUGAAGCAUGUGCAUGCUAUUCUUUAGCAAGAAGCUUAGACAGAUUGUACAUACACACACCAUGUCUAUUGGGCAGUGCAUUGAACAUUCAUUUUCCAACUAUAUAUGUUAUUUAGAUGAGAUGGAUACCCAUCCAUCCUUUAUCCCUUCAAUAAUGGCAAUGGACCUUAGGGAGGGCUUAGUGGUCUCAAUUUACAAUUCUAGAAGACUCUUCUCCCUUUUUAAUUUCCAAAUGUCCUACCUUCUACUUAUACGUAUAUACAUACUACUACUCCAAUAGUUUUUGUACUUUCAUUCACAAAAAAAUAUAUAUAUAUAUAUAUAUANNNNNNNNNNNNNNNNNNNNNNNNNNNNNNNNNNNNNNNNNNNNNNNNNNNNNNNNNNNNNNNNNNNNNNNNNNNNNNNNNNNNNNNNNNNNNNNNNNNNNNNNNNNNNNNNNNNNNNNNNNNNNNNNNNNNNNNNNNNNNNNNNNNNNNNNNNNNNNNNNNNNNNNNNNNNNNNNNNNNNNNNNNNNNNNAUAUAUAUAUAUAUAUAUAUAUAUAUAUUCUUUACUAUAUAAAGUAUUGAAUAUUUUUUAAAUUGUAUAAUAUUUUAAAUGCUCAAUAAUUUAUUGUAUUAGACUUCAAUUUUAAGUUAAAACUUUUGACAUAUUGUUUUAUGUUUCUUCUAAUCAGACAGUCUGAAAUUAAAAAAUGAAAUAUUUUAAUCUUUAAACGUUCAUUUGUAUAUGAUUAGAAAUGAAAAAAUAUUUUUAUUAGAAGUUUUGAACUUCAUACUUUAAACCAGAUUGAAGAGAUUUACUAGAAAGAAAGAUUUAUUACUAUUGUAUAAUUUAUCUUCAUCCUAUAUUCAAAAAAAUCAAAUUUAAAAAAAAAAUAAUUGCAUCUAGAGAGUUAUUUUCUAUCGAGGAAUGAAAGUUAGUUGGGCCAAAAUGAAAAUUCACCCUGAAUUAGAGGAAUGUAAUUGGCCUGAUUAGUGGAAAAUUAAAUGGUAAAGAGAAAAAAAAAAGGUUGAAGGUUUGACCUUGACUAUUCUUACUUUAAGUUCUUUUGACCAUAUAUACUUGAUUCUUUUAUCAGAUAUCAAUGUCGUUUUGUGCCCCUUCUUCUCCACAACAAAAAGCUAUAGUUUCUAUUCUUUCUCAGGAAUAUGUUUUGCUUGCUCAUUACUUUACAUUUAUGAUUUUAGCAAACCUUCAAGUUAAACUAGAAAAUGGUUAAAGGUCACCCCCACAUUUUUUCCGUUAGAGACCUUGUAAAUUUUAGUUCACAAAAUUAUCUUUCUAGUCAUGAAUUUCAAAUCUAAAAGUCAUCACUUUGAUACUCCAUCAAUAUUCAUAUUUGUAAGAAAAUUAUAAUAUUAAAAAUCUAGUUUAAGAAAAAUAUAAUUUUAUAUGAGUUGAUUAGUUAUAAUCAAAACUGUAAAUAAGUUGAGCUAAACUGAACUUUGUUGAGCUUAAGCUCGGCUAGUUAAAGACACAUUUGAAUUUAACUCAUUAAAUUUAAAGAAUAAAUUAUUUUAAAAUUGAAUUUCAAUUUUGAAUAACUCACGAGCGGCUUGAUUUAUUUAUAAUUCAAUUUAUAAUAUCUUCAAAAAUUUAGAUAUCAUAUUUCAUGUCAUUUAUAAUAAUAUUAUUGGAAAAAUGAUAUGAAAAUUAUCAACAAGAUAUUGAUUGAUGUGGUAAAUCAUCUCAAUUCUUAUAGGGACGAGAAUACAAAUCCAAUUUUCAUGAAGUGGGCUUUGCUGAGAAGGCAAGGGAAUCCAACUUCUUGAAACUUAGGUUAAUUUAAUUAUAUCAUAAUUGGUCUAAAUAAAUUAUACUAUAUAUCAAAACCAAAACCCCACCAAUUUGAGGAUUUUAAUAAUAAUAAUUUAUAGUAAUAAUAAGAUAUCCAAUUAGAGGAAAAGCAAAAGGAAAGUGAUGGUGGGGCUCACACUUUUUGACCCUUUGGACUUAGCUCGCUAUAAAUCUAUAAUGUAAGAACCUAAUGCCACUUGAAAACAAAAAGCUUAGCAUAAAAUAUGGGACCCAUUUUUGUCUAUUCUUUUAAAGUCUCAAUCAAAAGCUACCUUUGCACCGCCACUCCACACCAAAACUUUUAGAAUGAUCAAUCAACAUUAUUUUUAUUUUCUAUUUUUAUUUUUUGCAAUAUAAAAAAAAACAAUUAAUUAAAAAAUUUAAUAGUAGAAGAUACAUAUGCCCUACCCUUGUUGGUAUAUGGUAGAGAAAUGUUAAAUGAUUGGUAUAAUACUUCCAAUUUAUGUCAUGUAUGAUCUCAAAAUACUUUUUUGUCCUCUCAUUUUUGUUUGAGAUGGAAUAACUUUUAAAAUUUUUAUUUAUUUGGUUAAUUUAAUAACUUUUUAAGAAACACAUUAGAAAAUGUUAUCAUAUCGAAUAUAAUUUAUUUAAAUUACUUUUAAUUCAAUAUUUUUUGAAUUCAUCUCAAUGCUUUUCCUUUUAUCUAUUGGACGGUUAAAUAAAUCAUAAUAGUAAUUAUUUAUAGUAAAAAGAACUUGGAUUUGAAACUUCUCAUAUUUUAAAGGGGCAUUUGAUUUAAUUGUUCCAUGCAGCUAAUAGUUGUUUCACAUCCAACAACUACGUUGUAGGGGUUUGAUAGCUUUUUUAAUCUCCAGCUGAUAACUAAUAUGAGUCUCAAUCAGCUGUUAGAUUUGUUCAGCAAAUUUAACUGUUCUAGUAAUUUUUAACUGUUUUAAUAGCUGUCAACAUUUUACUAGUGAUUAGAUGUUAAAUAUUAACUGUUAGUAGUUAACGAUUAUAUAACGAUUUAGAAUAAAAGUGCUUUGUACAAAUUACUGUUUGAUUAGCUGUUUAAUAUAAAAUGAUAAAAAAAUAAUAUGAAAGCAAGAAACAAAGUAAAGACAAGUGAUAGAUAAGAGUGUCAAUGUGUCAUAAAUAAAUUAUAAAACACUAAACGUUAAUGAAGAUAACAUUUCAUAAGACACUAUCCAAACUCUAAACGUUAGGCUAUAUAUUGUAUUAUAGAACAUUAUAAUUAAUUAAAAUAGUAUUUUAACGCUAUCAAAACAUUAAACACUAUUUCAAACGCCGCUGCUGACCAGGGCAGUUGUUUCCAUUAGCUACCCUUUGGAACUUUUUUUAUCAGCUAGUAGUUGAUUCGUUUUUAUAUUAUUUUAGAUUUUAUUAACCUCAUACAAAUAAUUGCUAAUAUUUUUUUAAAAUUGAUAUUUUUAUGAUCAUUUUAUUUAUAGUUAUUUAAAAAUAAUUUAUUUAAAAUAUUAUUUUAAAAUUAUAAUUAUUAUUUUAUUAAUAUAAUACAUUAAAAUAAUUUAUUCACUUUAUAUAUAUAUAUAUAUCAUAAUAAAUAAAAAUAAUUAAGUUUUAAUAGUCAUUUUAUAUUUCAACAGGUUACCAACAUUUUACUGCUACCAACAUUUUACCAAGCAUGAAUAGUAAUCAGAUAACCGUUAUUAGCCAUCAGCUAUCAGCAAUCGCUUUCAGCUCGCUAAACUGAACGAGCCUAAAUGUUUAUAGAAAAUGAGAACUAGAUUACACAUAGAUAGGAAACUCAAUAAUAAAUAAAUUCUUUUGAUUGAAUAUUCAUGUAGGUAAUUAUCUAGCUCCAUUUUGAUUUUAUUUUUCCUCACGCCAAAUAAAAUUUUUUUUUAUUGUUAGUUUUAGAAUUUUAUUUAUCAAGUGUAAGUUUUGCCAAAUGUAUUAAGUCUAACUACAAUUUUCUCAUUAAUCAGAUUUUAAUACAAGAUGAAAAUGAGUUUUAUUUGUAUGUUCACAUUAUAACGUGAUAAAUAAUUUCUAAGUACCACAAAUUGGCAAAGAUAAAAAAUAUUUAUGAGCGCAAGUCACAUAAAAUCACAUUAACAUAUAAGUUCAUAAAUCUAUUUCAUAAAUUUAAAUAUAAUAUAAUUAAAUUUAUUUUUAAUAAAAUAUAGUUAGUUAUAUUACAUUAUAUUUUAUAAUGUGGUACUUGUGAGAUUGAGAAUUUAAAACUAAAUUUGAAUGCUUCAUGAACAUAAAUUAACUGAUAUAAAUUAAAUUAUAUUUUCUUAUUUCAGAAUAAAAAUAAAAUUACCAUAUAUAUAUAGUCCUAAAUUAUAGAGAAUAUUACAUAAUUUAUUCACAACUUAUUCUAUUGUGAUGAUUAGGGUUUAAUUGAUUUUAAAUUAAAUAAUUAAAAUUUCUGUAAUAAUUGAGGAGUACAAGGACACACAGUCUUUUCUAAAUUAUUCUAUAUAAAUAGGAGUAGGCAUGACCACGUUUUCAGAACUGUCAUUUAUGGUUAUAAAAAAGCUAAAAUCAAAAUUGAAUGGCUUUUAAACAGUCUCUAAGACAAUUUUAAAACCGCCGAUUUUGAUUUUUUUUCUGAUUUUGAACCAAAAUUAAAUAAUAUAUUUUAAAAUUUUUAAAAUAUUUUUUAAAGAUUUGUACCUUGAAUAAAUAAUAAUAAUAAUAACAAUAAAUUUUAUUAUUGAAAAAACUAAAUAUAUUUAAUAAAAAUUCUUUAAAAUUACCUUAAAAAAUUAUAAUGAAAUAAAAAAAUAAAUUGGAAGUUUUUUUAAAAACAUAUUUUUUACGAUUUCAAAUCGGAACUGCUGGUUUCGGUUUCAAAUUUUGAAGAAUUGAAACCAAACAUUAAAUUCAUAGUUUCGAUUAUAAUUUUAGAACCAAAACAGUUAAUUUAGUGUCGGUUCGAUUUCAGUUUAAAAUCGAACUAUAGUCAUCCCUAAAUAGGAGUAUUUAUAAAUUAAACCACUUGAUGAAUUGUUGAGCUGCACUUGUUAAUAUUCAAAUUCAUCACUUUGAUUUUCAUUAAAUCAAACAAGUGGAAUUCAAAUAUUAUUAUAUCAAAUCAAGUAUUUAAAACUUUACAUAAUAUAAUAGAUAUAUAACAUAAUAUAAUAUAAAUCAUAUUAAAUUAUAAUUUACUAAUUUAAGCUUCAAAUUUUGAAUUUAUUUUUAAAUAUUAAUUUCACAUUCGCAAUAAAUUCUAAAGUUUAAUAUUAAGUAAAUACACCAAGAGAUACCCUAGUGGUAAAUAUAUAUAUAGCCUAAUAAUAGAUUCAGGUUCAAAUCCUCUUUUCCCCAAUACUAAAAAAAAAAAAAAAAAAAAAAAAAAAAAAAAAAAAAAAAUACUAAGCAAGUAAAUUUGACAGUUUCAAGUACUUAUUAAUUCACUUUUAAAUAUAAAAAUUAAAAUUUAAUUAAACUCAAAUCAAAUUUUAAUUACCAAACACAGUAAAUUUGAGUAUUUUAUGAUGUCAAUCCCAAUAUCACUUACUUCCUCCGUUUAAAAUUAUACUCCCAAAAUAUGUUGUCAUGUUUUGAUAUUACCCUUAUUUGCAUUAUAGUACAAUAAUUACCUUCACAAAUUAUUCUUGGUUUCGUGUUAAAUAGUAAUUUAGUAAAAUUACCAUUGAUUUUAUUAUAAUUUAGGAUAAUUAAUUGUUUCCUUAAUCUAGUGUAAAAACCUUAAAUGACUUAUAUAUUAUAAUAAAUUGAUUAGUUAUGUGCCUAUAUUUAGAUGUAGAGAAUACUUAUUUCAAGUCGGUAUAUGGCUGAAGGAUAACAGAAGUAGCUACAAAUGCAUGUAAGUUUACAAAUGUGAGUUACUAAAAUAUAUACUUACCUUAAUUUCAUCUCAUGUGUAACAGACCGGUUUUGAUUAAGGGGAGCAAAAGAACCGACCGAAUCAAAUUGGCAAUUCGAACUGUACUGAUUCAAUUUGGUUGAGUCAAUGUGCUUAUAAGAAAAUUGAUUGUUUAUUUGAAUGGUUUAAAUCAAAAUGGAUUAUGUAUUUAGAUGGUUUAAAUCAACUCAAUUUUAUAAAAACCAAUCAGUUAGGCUUAAAAUCAAACUGUUUCAACAAAAAUCAAUUAAAACGACUGAAUCAGAUUAGUUCAGUUUUGAGUCCAUUCAACUUUGAUAUUAACUUGGGUUUAGUUGAAUUUUAAUUUUGGAAAAUUCAUUUUACCUUUAUCAUGUCUGUUCGGUUUGGUUCAGUUUUGAACCUAACCGACGGCUGACUUCUUCUCUUGAUUUGGUGUUAGGGGGACCAUAUAUAUAGUUAUGAUAACCUUCAAUUUCAACCUGAAAAGAAGCAUGGAAUUUAGUGCACCAUGCAAUUAAUUCAAUUUCAUAGAUCCAAAUAAUCCGCCGACAAAGAAAAAUUAAAAGACAUUUCCUCAUUUUCACUUGUUCAAUUAAAUAUAAAUUGCUUUUGAAGUGAGUGCUCUAAUGUCCUUAUCAACCAUACUUUUUUUUUUACUUUUUUCCAAGAUUAAGCAAAACAAUUUGAUUCAACUUUUCUAAUCACAAGUCAUUUUCCUUCUUCUUUCCAUGUGUUUAAUUAACUAAUACAUACUUCAUUUUUUAAUUACUCUCUUAAUUUCCUAGCUUAUGGACAAAAAGUAUACGAUCAACCCUCUUAAAUUUCCUUAUAAUAGUCAAAUUAGUUUCCAACAUUUAAUUGAAUCUAUCUCAAUUUUAAUAUAAUUAAUUAUGUGUUUUCACAUUUGAAUCUAUCUCAAAUCACGGUGUUGCUGAUAUUAACAUUUUUUUUUUUGAAAGAGUAUACUUACUUUUUAUUGAGAGUACGCACAUUUGCCUUUAGUCUCAAAUUCUUUAUUUUAUUGUAAAAUACCUUUGUUUGUAAAAAAAAUAAAUAAAUAAAAGGUAGCUCCGUUUGUUUUAAAAAAAUUACUUACUCUUGAAAAAUAUUUUUCAAAUAAUUUAUUUUUUAUUAUUUAGUUGCAAUAUAAAAAAUUAGUUAAAAAUAUUAAAAUCUAUAACACAUUGAAAAUAUUUACAAUACAUAUUUUAAAAGUUUUAUUGUUAAACAUUAGAAAAAAUGCAAAAAAAAAGUAAAUUAUAAAGGUCACCGGUAACCGGUGAAAGUUGAUGAUAGCCGGUGAUGAUAAUUGAUGGUACUAUUAAUGAUUAAUAAAUUAAAAAAUAGACUUUUAUAAACUUAUAAUAAGUUGAUGGAUGUCUGAAAAUUAUUUUCUGCUUUUAAAAAUGAAAAUUUAUUUUUUCUUAAAAUAGUUUUCCAUAAGUCAUUUUUACGAAUGCGCGAUGUCAAAAGCGUGGGGGACGUGGCUGUGUAAGCGUAAUGCGGAAUCAUCGUCAUCCACUCGGGUUCACUGUCUCCGUAAUUUUCGGAUUGCACGCGCCCACAGUCACAGAAUCACAUUCCCUUAAAAUAAUUUAUUUACAGUACUGCCAUUCAAAUCUUUAUUUCUAUUCUUUUCUUUUGUUUUUCAGGACACAUCUUAUCUUUGUAUUCCUCUUUAUCCGUUAUCAUACAACUUUUUUCAAUUUUUUAAUUUGCCUUCUUUUCUUUUGAGAAAACAAGAAUAAUCUUCUUUUUUUUUUCUUUUUAAUUAAUUUAUUUUAUCUAGAUUGUAGAAUGUAUAAAAAGUCGAUAUUCUAGGCAAUUAGGUAUUUUUUUUCAUUUAUUGAAAAGCUUAAUCCGUGUAUAAUUAUGGUCAUCGAAUAAAUAAAAUUCCUCGUCAUAAUUCUAAUAAUUGAAUAAGCAAAAUUUUGAUAAAUAACUAAUGAAUUUAUUUUCUUUUAGUUAUUCUUUUCCCCUUUACUCUAAUACCACAACGGAUUAUUUCAGAGUAUAAAAUAAUGAUUCCAAUGAUUUUUGCUACUGUAAUUUUCCUAACCAUGUUUUUUUUUUCGAGAUAUUUUGCCUCAAAAUAAGAAACUAUAUUGAUAUUAGGUAUCAAAUAAAAAUGAAAUAAAUAAAAUAAGUAAUAAAUAGAGAUAGAAAAAUAAAUGGCAGGUUUCAUCAAUUCUAUAGUUACUUCAAGUAGAUUGAAAUAACACUACAGACUAUAUAAUAAGAGUAGCUCUUUUCUUGACUCAACAAAUUGACGAAAAUUCUUGUGAUUGAGACUACUUUCCAUAUAAAUGAGAGGAACAACUAUGACCACAUCUAAUUGACAAUUAGGUGUAAUUUGUCAAUCGAUUUUAAAUCUUCUUCAUUAUAAAAUGUAAUUACUAAUUUCAUGAAUAUUAUUGACCUAAUAUAUCAAAAUACUCCGAACUUUAUAGAUUUUUUCAAUUUUAGUCCAUUUUGAUGUUUUUGUCAAUUUUACCUCAAUUUGAUAUUUUAUAGUAUCACACAUUCAAUUGCAAUUAAGGCAAAAUUGCACAUAAAAACUAUUUCCUUCUUUUUAAAAUCAUCAUUCGACUCUAAUAAAUAUUUAAAAAUUAAAAAUUAAAAAAAAAUUCUUUAUUCUAAACAAAUAAUAUUGCAUAUAUUAAAUUUUAGUUUUUGAAAUAAAUGCCAAUAUAUAAUUUUAUAAAAUAAAUUUAUAUCUAAAAUUAUCGAUUUUGAUUUCAUAAAAUAAAAAAUAAAAAUGUAAGUAUAUGAUUUGAUUAUAAUUUGAAAUCGAAAAUCAUUGAUCUAGUUUUGAUUUUACUUAAAGGAAAAAAGUGCCAAACCAAAAUUGAGUUUGAUGUUUUUGCUAGAUUCAAAAUACUAUCUCUUUUCAUUUUAUUGUUUGAUAACAUAAUAUUUAGUAACAUUUACAGGUUGAGAGAGUGUUUCACAAAAAUGUUGCUUCCUAUCAUUCAACAAUUAACUAAAGUUAUUUUAAAUUAGUUUACAUUUAAAAACUAGUUAAAUAUUUAUUUUUAUCAAAUACUUAUGUUUUAAAUCAUUAUAACCCUCGUUGCAUAAAUGGCUAACCACUAGUAACUUAUAUCUCAUAGUUAAUAGUUAGUAAAAUAGUCUAUGACCAUUAUAAUAAUUAAUCCCUAUGAUGAUAGCUAAUGUUAUUCAACAUGAUCUAAGUGUUUAGUUAAGGUACUUAAAAAUCACUUGAUAUUAUCCUACUAAACGCAUAUACAGGGAUAAGCGAAUAGCUUAAGCUAUAACUAAGCCUCGAACGGAUUAGAUAAAUUCUGAUAAUGGAUCCGAAUACCGGUGGAUUAAAAAAAAACACACAUAGAUAUACCAAAAUUACUAAAAGGGGUGAUGUUAAUGAAAUAGAAAGCCUAAAACUUUAUUAAAAAGAUAUAGUACUGACAUUUUUGAAAAUUAUUAGUUAGUAUAAUAUAGUCUUUUUAUUUGGUAAAAAUAGUUUUAAAAUAAGUAGAUAAUCAUAUAAAUAAGGUAAAGUUAAAUCAAAGGUUAAUAUUUUUAUUUUUUUUAUUUAAAAGUAGAUUUGACUGACUUGUCAAAUCAAUAUCUCUCUAUUUUCGACAACGACUGAGUUAAUGUCGAGAAAUAUUUUUCUUAAAAUCAUUGGAAAGAAAAUUUUGUCUCAAGCACAUUCGAAAACCAAAAUACUUUUGUAGCAAGUAUAUAUAUAAGUUAUUUUAAAUCUAAUUAAAAUAUAAUAUGAUAAAACCGAAAAAUAAAAAAAUGCAUACAGAAAAGAUACGUCAUCUCUCUUUCUUUUCCUAAAUUCAUCUCUUAAGUCAUUUUACAGACCAUUUCACUUGAUAUAAAUAAAUUCAAAGAUAUAAUUUAUUUAUAAAUAAAUUUUUUAUAUUUUGAAUAAAUUCAAAUUUAAAAAUUCAUUUACUUUUUGUCUUUUGAUAUAAUAAUUUUAGAAGUUUAAAUCGUUUUGCCAUAAAAUUUAGGUUGUUUAAAUUCAUGAAUUCAUUUAGAAAUCUACAUUUAUAGGUAGAAUUCAAUUUAAUUAUAUUGAAACCCAUAAAAUUAAAUUAGUAAAAUUCAUUCUUCAUCUCUUUCAUACUAAAAUACAAAUAUUUGGAUUUAUAGAUAAAUUUCACAAAAAUUCUGUGGGAUUGUGUUCUUCCAUAAAAUGUCUUGUUUCUAACGUAUACGGCUCCUUUACGGUAACGGUCUCGUGAUUUAAAAAGAUAAAAAGAGAAAAUAGAUAAAAACUUCAGAAAAAUAAAAAAAAUUAUUAGUUAAAAUUUUACAAAUAGAAAGAAAAUCUCUUUACCAUUAAUCAUAUUCAAAGUCUAACUAAUAACAUAAAUAAAUAAUGAAUGGGAUAUUAAAUUUAUUUUUAAUAUUGAAAUUAAUAAAAAAUAUUUUUUUAAAUUAAAUUAAAUAGUUGGAUGGCGAUAUUGUUACAACAAAAAUUAUUAUAAUCGAAUCUUAAUAUUAUAUUGACAAAAAAAAUUAUUAAAUUAAAUUAAAUAGUCUUAACUUUUUUUCAUGAAUAUUUUUAAUUAAUCUUCCCAUUAAUUACGAUAAAAAAAAUUUCUGGAUUUUAAGAUAUUUUAAUAAUUUUUCAUUUUUUUCUCAAACUAUAAGAAGAACAAAAAAAAAAAAUAAUAAAAUAAUAUUUAAAAGAAAAAAGACGAAAAAUAUAAAAGUUUGACAGCAAAGAUAAAAAUAAUUACCAGAGUAAUGCAGUUUUUGUUGAGGAAUUCCCAAAAAAAGUUUCAAGCAACAUAUAAAUAUAUAUACUUUGAAGCGGAAUCAGCAUGAUAAAAAAACGAUUUGCAUAGAAAAUUAUUAAAUCACUAUAAUUGAAAUCACUUAUACUUUAAGCAGAUUCGGUUAGAGGUGUGUAAAAUUACCAAUGAACCGAAUUGAAAAUCGAACUGAUCUAUUUCGGUUCAAUUCGGUCAGCUAUUCGAAGGAGGUUUGAUUUAUCGAUUUUGGAUUUAAACCAAAUUUAUUAUUUGGCUUGUGUCAAUAUCAUAGAAAUUUAUCGGCCGGACUUAAAAGCGAACUUACGAAACUGACCGAACUGGUUAGUUCGAUUUGAAUUGGUUCGAUUUAAAUGCUAAUUUUGGUUUGAUUCAAUCUGUCAUCAAAACAUUUCAAUUUGUAUUUUUUUUGGUUCGGUUUAAUUUGAACCAAUACACCUCUUCAUGUACAGUGAAUCUAUUUAAAGUACAGGAACAUUUGGUUGCAAUAUUUUAAUAUUUUUUUAUACAUAAAAACAUGUAUAUAACAAUGUAUGUAUGUUAGGUAUACAUAAUCCACUUACGGUAUAAACGGAUUCAGUUACAAUAGUUUAAUACUGAUUUAAUAUAAAUCGGUUUUUGGUUAUACUGAAUCCGCUUGUGUUAUAUACAGCUUCAUAUUCCUUGAAUUUUCAAAAAUUACUUAACAAAAAUUACAUUAUUUUGAUAAAUAAAUUUACUAAACACAUUAUUUUUGUCAUACACCGAAAAAUAUGCUACGUCCAUAAGUAGCCACAAUAGAGUACAAGAAUUCUUAAAAUGUAUGAAAGAGAAUAACAUAGUUUUAAGAUAAAAACCAGUGAAAAUAUACUUAUUGAAUGUAUAUAUAUAUAUAUAUAUAUAUAAACAAAAUGCAAAAAUAGAAAAAUAAAAUAAUUACUACAUAACAGAAGGAGAUUUUUUUUUUUCAAAAAAAAAAAAAAAAAAAAAAAACAGAAGGAGAUUAUUCAUUAUUAGUUUAUAUAUUAAAGACACUAUUUCGCCUUAAAAUAAUUUUUUCUCCGUCAAUACCUAACAAAUCUAAUUACGAAUCACCAUUUGUCAAAUGCUCGAAAGACAAAAAUACCCUUCGUGAAAUGGAUGAUGUUGUUGAGACAGAUAAAAAUGUAGAGCUCUGCCAGUGCCAUGUGUGGCGAGCUACUUUCCAGAACAACAUACCGUACCAACAAUUUACCAUUUCUUUCUCUUUAGAAUUUUAUCAGUUACCAAUUUCCCACAUUUUCUUUCUUCUCGCUCAAUUCAUUUUUUAUAUUUCUUUCCAUUCUUCAAAAAAUCCAGCUUUUGUGGUCUGUCUUUGGUUUUGAAGCUUAAUUUUGUUUUUAUCCUUUUCUUCACCACACUAACUCUAUAGUCAGCCGCAAAUUCCAUGCAGUCUUAAAUUUUGAGUCUUUUAAUUUGUUUUUGGGCAUUUCCAUGUGAGAUUUGAGAUGGGUAGUUCAAGAAGCAGCAGUUGGUGCUAAAAUGGUUCUUGAUGAAGCAAAAUGCAACUCUGCAGAUCUGCUGCUAUGAGAAACAACUACAUAAGACUUGUAUUUUUCGCACUACAACUGCUCUGUUAUGUUUCUUUGGUUUCUAGUGACACAGAUCCCAAUGACUUAGCUAUUCUCAAAGCGUUUAGAGAUGGGUUAGAGAAUCCAGCGCUCUUGGAGUGGCCUGCAAAUGGCGAUGAUCCAUGUGGUCAAUCUUGGAAACAUGUUUACUGUUCUGGUUCAAGGGUUUCUCAGAUUCAAGUUCAAAAUAUGAGCUUGAAGGGUCCUUUGCCUCAAAACCUGAACCAGCUUAUCAUGCUUGAAAAUUUAGGCCUUCAAAGGAAUCAAUUUACAGGGCCUUUACCAUCGUUUAAUGGGUUAUCAAAUCUAAAGUAUGCUUAUUUAGAUUAUAAUCAGUUUGAUUCUAUCCCAUCUGAUUUUUUUGAUGGUCUAGUGAAUUUGCAAGUCUUGGCAUUGGAUAAUAACCCUUUUAAUGCCACUACAGGGUGGACAUUUCCUGAUACGUUGCAGAAUUCUUCACAAUUAACAACUCUUUCUUGUAUGUACUGUAAUCUGGCUGGACCAUUGCCUGAUUUUUUAGGGAAUUUGUUUUCUUUGCAAAACCUGAGACUUUCAGGCAAUAAUUUAUCUGGUGAAAUCCCUCUUAGCUUUAGAGGUGGUAUGUCUCUGCAGAAUCUGUGGCUAAAUGAUCAAAAAGGCGGUGGCUUGAGUGGUACAAUUGAUUUGGUGGCAACAAUGGAAUCAGUAAGUGUUCUGUGGCUUCAUGGGAAUCAAUUCACAGGCAAAAUUCCAGAAAGCAUUGGUAGUUUGACUCUUUUGAAGGAUCUUAAUCUUAAUGGCAAUAAGCUUGUUGGAUUAAUUCCUUAUAGCUUGAUAAAUUUGCCUUUGGAGCAUUUAGAUUUGAAUAAUAAUCAAUUGAUGGGCCCAAUGCCAAAGUUUAAAGCAGCUAAGGUGUCUUGUACUCCAAAUCCUUUUUGUCAAUCCACUGCAGGGGUUCCUUGUGCCCCAGAAGUUAUGGCACUUAUAGAUUUCCUUGAUGGUUUGAAUUAUCCUCAACGACUUGUUUCUUCAUGGACUGGUAAUGAUCCAUGUUCAUCAUGGGUUGGAAUUACUUGUGAUUCUAGUAUGGUCUAUUCAAUUGCUUUGCCUAAUUUUAAUCUUAGUGGUACCUUGAGUCCUUCAGUUGCAAAUCUAGCUUCUCUUCAUCAAAUCAAACUUGGGGGUAACAAUCUUAGUGGUCAAGUUCCAACAAACUGGACUAACUUGACUUCCUUGAAAACUUUAGAUCUUAGCUAUAACAACCUUUACCCUCCAUUUCCAAAUUUCUCUAAUACUGUGAAUGUUGUUAUUACUGGGAAUCCUCUACUCAAUGGUGAUAAGUCCAAACCAGACAUCCCACCACCUAAUGAUAACAAUCCAUCUUCUGGAAGUUCAGAUUCACCGAAAACCCAAUCUCCAAAUACCAAAGGCACAGGUCCCAGACCCCGUGAGUCUUCUAUGGAAUCAAGAAAUGAGAAAGGUACUAAGAGGUCCACUUUUGUUGCAAUUGUAGCUCCUGUUGCAAGUGUUGCGGCUGUUGCUAUUUUGAUUAUUCCUUUAUCUAUUUACUAUUGUAAGAAGAGAAAAGACACUUACCAGGCUACAACUUCUUUAGUUAUCCACCCAAGAGAUCCAUCUGAUUCAGAUAACGUGGUUAAGAUUGCUGUUGCUAAUCACACCAAUGGAAGUACUUCUACCAUAACAGGGAGUGGUUCUGCAAGCAGAAAUAGUAGUGGUUUUGGUGAUUCUCAUGUCAUUGAAGCAGGAAAUCUGGUUAUAUCAGUUCAAGUUCUUCGAAAUGUUACAAAGAAUUUUGCCCCGGAGAAUGAGCUUGGCCGUGGUGGGUUUGGAGUGGUUUAUAAAGGAGAAUUGGAUGAUGGAACAAAAAUAGCAGUAAAAAGAAUGGAGGCUGGUAUUAUAAGCACCAAAGCCUUGGAUGAAUUUCAAUCUGAGAUUGCUGUUCUUUCAAAGGUUCGACAUCGUCAUUUAGUAUCACUUUUGGGUUAUUCAAUUGAAGGAAAUGAGAGAAUUCUAGUAUAUGAGUAUAUGCCUCAGGGAGCUCUAAGUAAGCAUCUUUUCCACUGGAAAAGCCUGAAAUUGGAACCUCUUUCUUGGAAGAGGAGGUUAAAUAUUGCAUUGGAUGUUGCUAGAGGAAUGGAGUAUCUUCAUAAUUUAGCUCACAGAAGCUUCAUACACAGAGAUCUCAAAUCAUCAAAUAUCUUGCUUGGUGAUGAUUUCAGGGCAAAAGUUUCAGAUUUUGGAUUGGUAAAACUUGCUCCUGAUGGGGAGAAAUCUGUGGUAACUAGGCUUGCUGGAACUUUUGGAUACUUGGCUCCAGAAUAUGCUGGUAGGCAUUCUAUUCUAUAUUCUCUGGGUUUGCUGCAGUUACUAUGUAAUUGCUGAAGUGACAUAUAAUUUUCCAAAAAAAAAAAAGGGGGUUUUGUUCCCCCCCUUUUCCCCAAUAUAUCUUGUGAUUUUUAUGAGUGUUAGUUGAAAUUAAAAUGUUUUAAAAUUCAAAAUUAAGUUAAUUUUGCUCAUAUGAAACUUUUGGCGGUUCAGAUUAAUUUAAAAAGAAAAUUGAAAAAUGUAGGUAAAUGUUUGAUUGCUGUGAAAAUUUCAUGCCCAAGUUAAGGUAUAUAAUCUUGACUAAAAAAUUAAAACCCUUAAUAUUACUUCAAUAGGAAAUGAAAACUCUGGAACAAGUUACAAAUGUCAAAGAAUUUAUUUUCAGAAUAGAUUGUUAGAAUAAAUUUUAUUUUCCUGUACUCUGCUUGAGCUACACCAAUGCCACUAUCCUAGUGACACUCACAUCCUGAUGCUAAUUGUUGUAGUGACUGGAAAAAUCACAACCAAGGCCGAUGUCUUUAGUUUUGGAGUUGUGUUAAUGGAGCUGUUGACUGGGUUGAUGGCACUCGAUGAGGACCGGCCAGAGGAGAGCCAGUACUUGGCUGCAUGGUUUUGGCGUAUUAAAUCUGAUGAGCAGAAACUGAGGGCUGCCAUUGACCCUGCCCUUGAUGUGAAAGAUGAAAAAUUUCAGAGUAUCUCCACUAUAGUUGAACUUGCUGGGCAUUGCACAGCUAGAGAACCAAGUCAAAGGCCAGAUAUGAGCCAUGCUGUGAAUGUAUUAGCCCCACUUGUCGAAAAAUGGAAACCUUUGGAUGAUGACACAGAAGAGUAUUGUGGUAUUGAUUAUAGCCUCCCACUUAAUCAGAUGGUGAAGGGCUGGCAGGAAGCAGAAGGAAAAGACUUCAGUUAUGUGGACCUAGAAGACAGCAAGAGUAGCAUACCGGCAAGGCCAACUGGCUUUGCAGAGUCUUUUACUUCUGCAGAUGGUCGUUAAAAGAGGUUUGCUGUUGCCUUUCUUCAACAAAAAUUCUUUUUUCUAGCUGUAGAUAUUAUGCUGUGUUGUUUCUGUGUUAGAAUUCAUUGUCAAUAUAUAGUGUCGUACUGUCAAUGCUAUUAUGAUGUAUUGUGCAUUCCAAAUGUUUAAGAGGUCUCAUGCAGGCUUUGAAUUUUUAGAGGUGAGAUUUUAAAUGCUAUUGGUAAUGUAGAUAGAGAAGAAUGAUGAAUGCAGACUAUUUGUCAAUUAUUUCUUGAUUAUAUCCAUGAAUUUCAUUAAAAUAUGUUCAUUUUUAGCCAAAACUUAGAUGUACUAUACUCUUUAGUUUCAUUUAUGCUCAUCUGCGACGAAAUUGCGAAUGUUAAAAUGUUUCCAUCAAUAAUUAUGGAUGACUUUUCCAUGGGAAUGAUUAUUAUCAGAUAAAUGUAUGGAAGCAUCUUUGCGUCUUUGUUUACCAAAUUUUAGCUGUCUUUUGCCAUUGUGAAUAAAUGAAACCCAUCUAACCUGAUUAUGGCCAUUUCCUAAGGUGUUUUAUGAUUGGAAUGUAAGUAAGAUUAAGGGCAUUAGCUGUUUUAGUAGCAAAUAGUUGUUUGAAUAACUUGUCAUAAAAGUCAAACAUUUCAAAAUGCUAUUUUAAUUUCUAAAAGCUAUUUUUUAAAAAAAAGUUAUUGUCGAACAUAGCCUAAGCGGUGUUGUUUAUUUUAGGUGGGUUGGGUUGGAAAUAUUUUUAAAAGCAUGUGUACACGGAGUUAUGAAUACGCUGAAUGAUAAUCCAAGAAAGGUUCUUUCUUCUUACUUUCUCCUCCUUUAUUUGGUAAAGCAAGUAAAAUCAAAUCGACAGAAAAUUAGGAUAGAAAGUGACGUAUGAUCGAAAUGGAAGGAAAUUCCGAGGAAACUGAGAGUGUUACUUAAUGAAACUCUGGUUUUAUGGUUUACCGGCAAAAAUGGAGGUCAUGAUCACACAUAUGUUUAUUGAUGGCCCCCUCCUGAGUAGGCAAAUUGAUUCCGGUAAGAGGAUCCACAUCCAGCAAAGGUUGGGAAGAUAAAGAUUGAAGUGGCGAUCAAAGAAAUUUAUGUCAUUAUCGUUAUUGCAACCAUAUAUUAUUAAAUAUACGGAACAUAUAACAGGACUGGUUAUGGCUGAUUGAUGCUUGGCCAUGUGGGUUGCUUUUCAAGGGUUUGGUCUCAUUAGGCUAUGGAAAUAUGCUGCUGCUGCUUCUCACCAAUCAAAUGCAAUAGGCUGGCGAUAUUGAGGGAUGUUUGCUGAUUGAGACUAUCAUGUUAAUUUUUUUUUUUUUUUAUUUCAAAAAAUGGUUUAAGGAAGAAUUUGGGAAUAGCUUAGGCUUAAUGUUAUAGUUUUAUACAUUUAUAAUAAUAUCGAGAUAAUAAUUCAUAUAUUUUGAGGGUAAAGUCGAAUAAUUUGAAUAUCUAAUUAAGAUGAAAUUACUCGAUUUCUGAGUUUAUUUAUAGAUCAAAUUAAUGAAAAAUAUUUUUUUAUUAAAAUAAAAUAUUUAACCGUUUAUUGAGAAAAAAAAGAAUAAUUCUUUUCAAAAUUAUAUUUUAAUUUAUCUAACCUACAGAUGGAAUCUUCUGGAUAAAUCUAAUUCUCAAAAAUAUAAAAAAUAUAGAUCAUCAGAAAGAAGAGACUACGUGGCACGGUGGCAGUAUAUGCUUUGGUCUAUGCCUCUGCUGCAGUCUGAAGCCCUAUAACAGUUUCUAGCCAGGUUUUAUGCAAUGCAUAUGCUCUAUGCAUAAAAUCAUGACCAUAUACAUACAUGCUAAAUACAUAAAUUUAACUCCUACACUCUGGUAAAAAAACAAAAUAGUCUCUAAAUUUCAAAAUUGAUCUUGUAAUACCAUAAAUUUUACUCCCUUCGUUCAUCAACAUUUUCUCUUUUCAGAAAAUGAUUAAAAUUUAUUAUUUUUUAAUAAUAUAUGAUACGAUGUUUAAAUUGUCUUUCUUAAAUAUAAAGAUAAAAAUAAAUUACACAUAAUAAAUAAGAGUAAAGUUAAAAAACAUAAUUAAUAUAUUUUCAAAAUUCUAAAUAAGCACUUAAAUUGAAAUAAAUGCUUAUUUGUCGCUAUUAAAGUAAAACGGAAUGAGUAUUUUUUUUAUAAUAAUUUCACACAGCAGACACUAGCAAUUAGGGGUGACCAAUCCGCCAGUUCACUUCGAACUGAAUCAAACCAAAAACAAAAAUUGCAAACCAAAGUUUUUGAGCAAUAGACUAAAUUGAAAUACGAAAUUCGCAUCUGAAUUGAAUCGACAAUUGAUUUGGUCAUUUUUGCCAUUUCGGUUCAGUUUUAAGCUAAUCGAUGAAUUUCUAUGAAAUCAAUCCAAAUUGGAUAAUAAAUUCGAUUCAAAAAAAAAAAAAAAAAAAAUUCAAACCUCGCUUGAAUAACUGACUGAACCGAACCAAAAUUGGCCAGUUUUUGGUCCAAUUUGAUCAAUGAAUUUACACAGUUCUACUAGUAACAAUAAUUUUUAAAAUUUUUAGCUUUUAUAUGCAAAUAAAUUUGAUACAUAAAUAGCAUAAUUUUUAAAUAAUAAUUUUUUAUUUUCAACUAUUCAAUAAGUGUUUGAGGUAUUGAACCAAUAAGUGUUUAUGGUGUUGAAUGAGUUAAAUUCAAAUAUUUAAAUUGAGAAACUUUAUAAAUUGAGGUGUUCAAUAGUCAAUAUUAAAAAUGAAAACGUUUCGGUUUGGCAAAGUUUGAAAAAAUUCCAAAUAGAACCAGAAAUUACGAUUUACAUAGUUUUUAACUCAAACCAAACCGUUUAAUCAAUGAAACCAAAUCAAAUCAGGUCGCAAUAAAGCAGUUUGGUGCAGCUUGAUGCAUUAAAAUGAUUUAAUGAAUUGUGCAAUGAAUUCAUGUAUAAUAUAUAAUAUAUAACAUAACAAAAAAAAAAAAAAAAAAAAAAAAAAAACAACUAGGAAAAAAACGCUUAAUGUUUUAUAGCAAAGAAGCAUAAUAAAAAAAUAUCAAUUUAUGCAAUAAAAACAAAAAUAUCACAUGCAAGUAACAUUUAUGGUCACCCAAGUGUGACCUUACUUAUAAGAAUCUAUUUGUAAAAUAAAUAAAUGUCUUUCAAUAUUAUAAUAUUGAAAACAUAAGAAAUGACUUUGAAAACAAACUAUCAUAUUCACAAAGUGUAUCUCUAAAGCUUCAAAUUAGAUGUAAAACAUAAUAAUUAAAAUUAACGCAAUGAACAUCGUAGAAUAUCAAAAUAAUUGUGAAGAUUUUGAAAUAUAUGUAAAACGAAAAAAAAAAAAAUCAUGUUGAUUAUAAUUCAACAUUUUAAUGAAUUCAUACAUGAUAUACAAGAUAACAUCCGAAAAAAAAUACCAUACUCUAAACUUUGUGUCUCAUCAAGGUUUAGAAUUUAUUAUUUCUGGUUCAGUUUUAAAUGAUUUAAUUAUAUAAAAAUCAAAUCAAAUUGUUUUUAAAGCGAUUUAUCAAACUGUAAACCAAUCAAACCAUUUCAAAUUGACAUUUUCGUGUAGUUUGGCAAUUUAAACUCUUUAAUGCUCAUUUAUAAUCAAAGUAAAAAUUAAGAAUGCUACAAAAUUUUAUAAAACAUACGGGUGAGUUUAUGCAUUAAGCCUACACAUACAAGCAGUACAAGAUUUUCUGGUUAUAUACUAAGAUAUCAAUCAAUCAAAUAUUAUUAAAGAUCAUAUCAAAAUAUGUAAGUAGCUAACAGUUAAGCAAACCAAUCUUUGUGCAAUGUCGGUUUUUAAAAUAUGUCUUCAAAAUGAACGGAGUACAUAUCAUUCUACGGGUAAACCUAUACAAUACAAGGACUCGUAAAUCACACGGUCAAAUAGCAUUUAAUACGAAUCAUUCUACGGUUAAAUCUAUACAAUGAUUCUGUAAUCACACAUUCACACUCGUAUCUAAAAGUUGUCAAAGUGCAUUGAAUUAUAAUUAUGACGCAAACUACAGCAACAUUCUUUUCUUUUCUUUUUUGGGUCAGUGCCACGGAUCUUCAAAUCCAAAUUGAUAUUAGCCCCUACAUCUAAGUGAAAUACAUAUUUCUGCUAUUCUUCAGUGAACUGGAAAUCUUACCCGAAAAAUUUCACUCUUGCUUAACCUUUCCUGUCAAUCCUUUGGGAAACGACAUGUCCUCUGAGAAGCAACCAAUGUGAUAAGCUCCUGGUGUCUGGUCCUUGGUAGAGGAAAUAGGAGGGGUUGUCGAAACUUUCAAAGGAGAAAAAUGCCGAUAAGGCCGAUGAACUGGAGGUAGCAAUACUGAUGAUUCUCGGUCCAUUGCCAAUAACCGCCCACACUUACUGCACCAACAACUAAAGAGUUCAUAAUCCAAAUCAGUUGCAUAAACUCGUAAAGUUAAAAGAAGCAACUGUCACCUGCAAACUUUGGUAAAUAGUGUUUGAUAGCUGCAAAUCCAAUGCUACAAAAAGAAAGGAACAAAAAAUAUACAACAUAAAUGUCCUGAAGUUGACUCAUUUUCUUAUGAAAACAUGAAAAAAAACCAGCAUUCAUAAAUUGAGAAGCAUACCAAAAGAAAGUACAAUGCUGUUUCAGUCCCAAUACCAAGAAAAUGUUGCAAAGCCAUUGUAGCAUGCUCCUGCAACAGCAUUAAAAGAAAUAAGCUUGAAAUGAAACAUUCAAACACUUCAGCAAGCACAAUAAGAGAGAAAAUUAGAGAAUGGUUACCGUGGUUUGUCUAAAUACAUGAUAAACUGAAAAACCUCUUGCAUGUAUAUAGCUGCCUCCCUAUUCAAUUAUGUAAAAGAUGAAUAAUGUCAGCUAAAUGCAGCAUAAAAGAAACAAGUCGAUAAUGAAUUCAGUAUGAUAAGGGUAACAAGGAAGUAGCAAACUCAAAAGCAUUGGAUUAUGCAUUAACUAACUUCGUAAAAUGACCAAUGUCUAACUUUGUAAAUGAACAACAUAAGAUUAUUUAAUGCACUGUACGCGGAUCAACAUAAUUUCGUAGCUGAUAACCAUAUCUAAUGGAACUAGCAUGUAGUGCAACAACAACAAACAAAAGUAUAAUAAAUAUGAUAUGUAACUGGUUGUCAUAUCAUGUUAGUUUACUGCUGAAUUCAAAAGGUUGAAGUGAUGACACCAUGCCAGAUACCAAGACCAUAUUAGACCUCAUAAAUGACUAACGCAAGACUCUAGUGAUCAAAAAUCCUAAUUUACUUGGGGUCCAUUCAUUAGCAAAAUUCUAGCUCCAAUUGUAAAUGAAACAUUAGAACUUGGAUUACAUGAAAGGGAUUACCAACUUUAGAAGAUCCCACCCAAUCCCUAUGGAUUCAUUACCUAUGGCCUACAAUUAUGAAUUCUAAGUUCAAACCACUGGAUAAACUUUUGUCCCGCCAAAUAAAUGAAUGGGGAACUUCUUAUUUUACUAUGUGGCAAACCUCUUCCCCAUUCACUUGAUGUGGCACUUUAUAUCUAGAUCCUAGAUCACUUGUUCAAGGCUAUCUGCACAUCCCUAUUACCAGUCUCAUCAACACAUGUUAAUUCUCAACAAAUGAAAACGUGUUUUCUGAGCCAAUAGGUUUCCUGCAAAGGGCCAAACAAAUUGCCAAGAUUACAAUCAUUGAUUUCCACUUUUCCAAAUAUCAUCAGCAGGAUGCAUCAAUUGAACACCUAACCAUGCGUCAGGAUAUUACAAUCACACUAUCCGAAAAUCCUUGGCAAAAGAAAAAAAAGACUGUCACACACCCAUAUUGAUAUUAAAAUACAGAUAUAAUAUGACCAUGAGCACAUCCACCAAGCAAGCACUAAAAUGCAAGCCUUCAAUUUUUUAUUGCAUAUCUGAAAAUGAAUCUUCACAUAGAAGAACAAUCAUUAAACUAUCAGGUGCAGUAAAACAUUCAUAUGGUGAAGUAAGGCAAUAUUGUAAAAUGUGAACCGUGACGAAUGAAACUAACCAAUCAUACGAAAUUCCCAAUGUAAGGAGAAACUAGAGUCUAUACAACAAGCACCUCAAAAACAAGUUACCUCAUCUGGUGAAAAGAAAGCUACGGCAUCUGGGUCAAUAGAACCAGCUGGAUGCAAUGAUACAAUAGCUCUGAAGACAGAGGGAAACAACAAUUCAAUUACAGCAACCUUAUCAGAGGUAGAUGAGCCCUGCGAUCCUGUUCUUAGUUUAUUUAAAGUAUGAAAAGUAUGCUCUUUUGAUGUUUCCAUAGGAUUCUCAUUUGCUGAAGUUGGCAGUGAAGAAGCUCUUUUCAACCAAUCGAGUCGUUCAUAAGUGAAAACUUUCAAAUUAGGCAUUUCUUUCUCCACACGUACUAGAAUGUCCGAUAAUGUUUUGCAAUCACUAAGAUCUUCUUGAAGAGCUGCUGAUAGUACUUGGGAACUGCAAUGUCUCUUUGGCAUUGAUUCAGCACUUUGACCAUCCAAUCCAUCAUCAAGAUGAGGAAAGAAACGUCUUUUCUGAUCUGUGAAUGCCUUAAGAGCUAACCUGCAUACAUUCAGAACUACAACUUAGUAGAAAAAGACAAAAAUAGAGCAUGUACUAAACAAACCAUGUUGGUUUGAUACUUUAACUUAACUGAGUCCUCAACCUAAAUGUGAUGAUAGAUAGACUAUUCUUUGUGUAUAAGUCAAAUUGUUGACAAUUGCACUCAGAGCCCUAACACCCAUGCUACACAGGCAGCCGAAUUUCUUGUUUAGGGCCAGAAAAGGGAUCGAACUUCAAAUUGAUAUAGGCAUUUUCCAUAACAACAUAAAAAUCUCCAAACCAACCUGGUUCUAUCAACAGCUGAUGCACCAGCCUGGCCAGCAAGUUGCCGUUUCCAUGCAUAUGCAACCACUGCACCAUCUGGGCAGACCAAUGGCAUGUGCAGACCCCAAGAAUUGCUUCGUGAUCUUAGAGAAUCAUUGAGAACCCCAGAUUCUUCUAGCUGCCUUCCUAACAAGAUUAUAAAGAUCCAAAAUUCAUGAAGAAUAGCACCUAAGUACAGAAGUUAAGCAAAACAAAAAAGAUACAGAAAACUAAAAUUAUCCACGGCCCAGAAACUAAUAUGUUUGUUCUCCAAUUUCUCCAUUAAAUGGAAGUAAAAUAUGGGACAUUCCAUUAGUAUAGUAUAUUUGCAUUUUUAUUAUCAUCUGCUACCAAGCCAAAAAGAAAAAUAAUAAACAAAUAACCCUAAAGGGCUUGAAAUUACAAGGAGAAAUGCAAAUGCAUAUUACAGAACAUACCAACGGAACGUAGUUCUUCAAGGUGUUGCCGCAUGGCAGUGUCUUCUUUGCGGAACAAUUGCAAGGGCUUGUUGCUCUGAUGAGGCUGCGCCGUGAUGAAAAGUGCUUCGAGGAUGCGGUCAGCGCCGAGCCUCACGUCAGCAAUGAGGCGAGCUGCUUGGGCCAGUCUAUCCAUCGCCAUUGCCACCUGCUUCGGCGGCGCAUCCGCUGGUGAAACCUGGUUCGAAUUCUGGAUACCUACCGGCUGAGGCUCCUGCAGCUGUUGCUGCUGCUGUUGCAUUAGAGCGUUGAGUUUCAUCCCUAAAAACAAGAGAAUUAGUCCUAGUAGUAACUCAAGCGCGCUGUUUGAGGCAAGAAGUUGGGGCCUUUCCUUUUCUGGUUGAGAUCCUCCGAGCCAAGUGCAGUUCGUUAAUGGAUCUCUACACUACAAAAGAAAGGAUAGUUAGGUUUUUUGGGACUUUCAGGCUAGACCAAAACAGAUAGUGCCGCCACCGUUAAAAAGUUAAAGCAUUUCGGGUACCCAAAUCCGAGAAUGUUAGCCCAAAAUCCUGAAACCCGAAAAUUAAUGAAUGAAAUAAAACCUCUCUUUUUGAAGGAUUAAAAGUUAAUAUUUUAAUCUCAAAAAAUUAAUAUUUUUCUCUCAAAAAUUAAUAUUUUAAUCACAAGAAUUAUUUGAAUUCCAAUUAUGUAAUAGCAGGGACUUAAAAGCUUCCUUAAUAAAAAAAAUAAGGGUAAUAAUAUUGUCGUAUCAGUUUUUUACCACAGUAAUAUAUUGACUGUUUUGCAAUUUAUUUUAUUAAAAUGAUAUUACACUAUUAUUUUAAUAGCAUAUUUAUAAAAUUCAAUUCAAUUUAACAAUCCCAUGAAAUGAAGACCAUUGAAAAUUGCCUCUUUAACUAAAAGAAAAAACAAAUAUCACGUAGAAUUGGCGAUCUAUUAUAUAAAUCAUACAAUUGUAUAUAAAACAGUACAACAAUAAUUUAUUACCGUGUUUACAGUUAAAUCUCUAAUAAUGUAAAUACAUAUUAAUUAUGGUAAAGGCUGAAAAUUAACUAUCAAUAUAUACUUUUCUACAAAAUGAUAUACAAGAAAGUGUCAAAAUUCAAUUAAUAGUUCUAUAGUCAUGAAGAUUGUCAUUAAAACAAAUAGAGAUUAGGUAAUGGACUUAUGAUUAAUAAUUAGAAAAUAUUAUUUUGAAAUCACCUGUUAGGAAUUUAUAGUAUAUUAUAUUAAUUGAAAAUUAUGAAAUGUAUUAUUUUAAUAAAUCCAUUAUUUUGUCAUUAAUAAAUAAUACUAUGUAGCAAUAAUGCUACCCAAGAAAAUUGGGAAAAAAAUAGAAAUUAUUUGGCAGUCGGUUUUCAAGUAUGGUUCGGGUUUAUUGAAACCCGGAUAGCUAGAAUCCAGAUCAGGUAGUUCGGGCUUUCGGGCAAACUUGAUCCAUUUUAUUCCAAAGCAUAUACAGCAAAGUUUCAAAUUUUUUUUGUGAAUACUGAAGUUAUCAUCUUCUUCCUGUUAAGAGUUCUCUUCAGUUUCUACUCCGGCAGCACCAAAUAGGUUCUUCAAUUUCUGUUGCUCUUCAUCUAUUUCCACAUGUAACUCUUGCUAUAUAUCUGUUUAGUUCGUGAAAUUUUGUUUUCUUCGUUUUCUCAGCUGCCAAACAGACAGUCAGGCUUCUACAUGGCCUAGCGAAAAGAUAAACUAGCACGAGCAUCGACAUUACAUUCAUUUAGCAAGAGUCUAAAUCGAAUUUAUUUGGUUUUUGUUUAAUUUUGUAAUUCGCAGUGAAAAUGGCAAAAACUAAGGCUUCCUCAAAGAAGCAGCAAAAGCGUGGUGUUGAUUUCAAGGUGAGUAAUCUACCUAUUAACAAUCUAAUUUCUCUGUUCUGUGUUCCAAAUUUGUUGGCUUAUUAAGAUGGAUUCUGUUUCCUUUUCUUUAUCUGUAGAAAAUUAAGCGGAAGCUAGGCAGGAAAUUGCCGCCACCUAAGAAUGCUACAAACACUGAAAUUAAAUCCAAAGGUAAUAAAGUGGAAGCUUUAUUAUCAGUACUAUUAUUAUUUUUCAUUAUUUUUCAUUCCUCCUGUUUAGUUAUUUAAAUUUUUAUUUCGCUGGAAAAUAUUGUUUCUGAAGAAGAAAGGUUAGAUCUUUUUGUUUAGCUGCCAAAAGCAAAUAAUAGAUGUAGCACUCCCUCUUAAUUAUCGAAAAGGAAAGUUAAUUUCUGUGUUUGUUAUCUGAAUGAAUUUUUCCAGAAAACUAUGCUUGAAGUGUAAUUACUUAAAAUUGCAGCUUGUUAGUAUAGAAUGUUUGACGAGAAGUCAAGAAUAAAGCCUCUAGGUUUCAUGUGUUCGCAAAUACUUUCUGCUAAGUUUAAUGGACCCUUUAUGUGCUGCUAUAUUUUCAGUUGUAAAUGGCCUUUUGUGAAGUAGCAUGACUCUUGAAAGUUAACUUGCAUAUAUUUUGGGCAGCAAUUGUUCUUCCUGAGCAGAGUGUGGCAUCAGAGAAAUCGGGUUUAGCUGUGAGUAAGAAAGGCUUGACUUUGAAAGAGCUUCUUCAACAAACCUCCCACCAUAAUGCAAAAAUUCGUAAAGGUAUUUCAUCAUUGCUAUCAAAAUAUUGAAUUAUUGUGAAAGGCCUCUCUUGAAGAGUUCAAGCUUGUGAGUAAUAUCAAACAAUAUAAUCCUUUGGUUACCAAGAAAUGUAGGAGAAAGGCAGUUGCAUGAUUCUCAUAGCUUGAGUUUUAAACAUUUAGUGAUUGGUUGGAGGGAGAAAACCACAUAUUAACAUAUGUUAUUUAACUUAGAGAGGAACUUAUAUUCUUGACCUCUGGGCAAGGAUUGGGUAAGGAAAUAUUGAAACUCUAGACUAAUAUUAUCAUUGGAUAUGUAUCAAAGGGGUUUAAAUGUUUCCAGUAGUGUAACUGAAUACUGUUUUCUCUUAUGGUUGAAAUUUACCUGCAUAUUUGUUUUUACUAUCUACAUGAUUCUUUUAUAUUCUUGUUGAAGUUUUUUAUUGUUUAAUUUUUUUGUCAUCAUGUGAGUCAGUUGUGCAUGUUAUUCAUAAAAUAUACAGGUUUCCAGUGCUUCUGUUAUUAGUUCAUGAAGCUUAGGUUGAACUUAUACAUUAGUGGAAGUUACUUGAAAAGUUGUCUCUAUAUUGAUUUUUAUUGUCUGUAUUUUAGCCCUUGCAUUUGUUAUUCUGUAUUCAGCGGCGAUCUUGAUGUUGAUAAGAGUUCUUGUUUAUUGUUUUUGGCUCCUUUAAAAGAUGCAUUGAUGGGCAUGAGGGAUUUAUUUGUCAAGCAUCCAGAAGAGCUGAAAUUGCACAAAUAUGCGGUUAUAGAAAAACUACGUGAACGCAUCAGUGAUGAUGAUAAAAUGGUUCGAGAAACCCUUUAUCAACUUCUUAAGUCAGUGAUUUUACCUGGAUGCAAAGAGGUGAUUCUUCAUUUUCUCUAUUGCUUGGAAGCUCAUAUUUGUAUUGGAUAUUUAAUUGGACAACUUCAGAUCUAUAAGGACAGUCUUUAUCAUUGGUACCAUAAAUGUUGUGUGGUGAUUUCUCUCAAUUCUUUGAAUUAUAAUUUUUUUUGUUGGGGAUGGGUUGGGUGGUGGGGUUGGGAUAACAUGUUUCCUUGUCUUUUAGUUAUCAACAAAAGAUGAGCCAACUGCAUUUGAUCGUUUUGUUAACGAUUAUUUGGCUUUGUUUUUGGGAAGCAUAUUAGCGUGUAUCACUUGUAGCUACUGUCUUCCAUUUCAAGUACUUGAUAUGGACUAUUAAAAUUCUUAUAUUACUUGAGACCUUGAAGAUGCUUGAAUACUUAGGGGACAUUUGGUUCAGCUGAUUCAUGUAAAAGAUAGUUGAUCUGAACCAAACAAUUAGGCUAGAGGUGUUUGGUAAGGAUUUUAAUCAACAUAGCAGCUCAUAGCUGAUACACGUUUCAAUCCGCUGCUAAUUCCAUUAAGUAUUUUGGAGUUUUUUCUUAUCACCUUUUAGCUGAUUUCUAUUUGUAUUAAUUUGGCUAUAUUAACAUUAUAAAAAUAAAUACUAAAAUUUUUUUAAAUUAAUAUUUUUAUAUGAUCAUUUUAUUCAUAAUUGUUUGAAAAUAAUAAAUAUCUAUUACAUAUUAUUAUAAAAUUUUAAUUAAUAAUUUUUUAUAUAUUUAACAUAUUAAAAUAGAAAAUAAGAAAUUUACUUAUAAAAAUAAAACAAAUUAUAUAUAAAAAUAAUUCUAUACUUAAUGGUCAUUUUGCAUUUUAAAAGCAACCACUUCUAAAAUCUUGCCAAACAACCAACAUUAAGACUACCAAUCACCAGCUAUCAGCCACUAGUUAUCAACAACUACUAUCAACAACUACUAUCAGCUGCUAGCUAGUCUGAAUAGCUAAACCAAACAGACUCUUAGAAUAUUGUUUGAUAGACUGUUGGAUAUCUGGUGCUCCUUUGGGGAAUGAAUUUCCAAGAAAAGGUUUAGACAGUGGGAUGUAGUAUGUACAUUUUGGCUUUUUGUUUAGCAGAUAUGAAUACAACCUUAGGUGAGAAUGAAGAUUAGUUGUUUCUAUUCAAUUCUAGACGUCACAUUCACCAAAGUCAAAACAAGAUUAUGUUUCAUAGUGUAUUUGUUUUCUUUCUUGUCACUGCAUUCACAAUUUGCGUAUAACAUUUGCCGCUCUGUUCCUUUACUAUUCAUUCUUUUCUCAUUUUAAUGAGACAUUCUAUCAAUAAUUACUGUUUUACUCUUUAUCAUCAUUAAAUUAUCUUUUGCUUUGACAGUUGUUUCUCUGCACUACUUGUCCAGGAUAAUCAAGGGCCUUUCAUUUCUUUAACGAUGGCAUACAUUUUUAAUGCAAUGACAAAUUUAGCAAUUGAAGUUCGGCUUAUGGCUUUCAAGUUUUUUGAUCUUGUUGUACAACAUUAUCCAGCUGCAUUUUCCAUGUAUGCUGAAAAGGUAUCUUACUUUGAAUUAUGAUAUUUAGACAUUUUGACUGCAUUGUUUAUCCUGCUAAUUUGAGAAUCUAUUUGGUUGAUGUUUGUUUGUAUUAUAAUUUAAGACUAAUUAAUUUUUGUAGCAGGUGAUGUUGCUUGUAUAAUGUUCUGAAUCCAAAUGUCAAACUUCUGUUACUAAUUUUUCAUUUUCUAAUAAAAGGACUUGAGGCCAUAAUAUUGUUGAAAUUGAAAAGGCAAAUGUGGUUUUGUACGUGGUACAUAAGUGUAUGAUAGUUGCUUGAAGGACAUCUUUUUUUCAAAUCUUUGGUAGAUUUCCUGGUUUUUCUAGAUAGAGACGAGGGUUUAGGUGAAGCAGUUUGUUGAUGCAGAAGUUCUAGGUUAUUUUACAGCAAAAGGUAAUGGUUUUAUAGCAAAAGAGAAUGGCAAUGGAUUGUCAAAAUAACCACACAGAUAAUCAAUUCUUAGAAAGAGUACUGGUGCAUUCAAACCCUCACAUUUUGUCAAAUGAAGUAAUUAUGAACUUUAGUUAAUAUGAUGUUUGCAACUGAUGUUAUUUCAUUCUGUUGUUCAUUAACAGGUUAUUCAAAAUUAUGGGGAUAUUCUACGGAAGAACCAGUUCUAUUUAGAAGACAAGGGCAAGCUCAAAAAUGUGCUUGCUGGUCUAGUCCGCUGCUUGUCUCUGUUGCCAUCUAAUAAAAUAGAAGCUGACCCAUUCGAGAAGGUGCCAUCUAGGAACAAUGGGAAAAUAGAAGUUCUUAAGCCUUUUGCUUUUUAAUUGUCCAUUGUUUUCUAAUAAUAUAUAUAUAUUUUUUUGUUUUAAAAAUGAUAGAAGGUUCCCAGGCAAGAAAUGCUGCAUGCUUUUGAGUCAGACAUGGCUACAGAAUAUGCUGGUAUUGCUUUGAAUCUUAAGCUUAAUUACAUGCUUUAUAAUGCUAUCAUUCUCUCUGCAAUUCAUGAUUUAUAUAUAUAUAUAUAUAUAUAUAUAUAUAUAUAUAUAUAUAUAAAAUAAACACACAUGCACAUGGUGAGUUUUGCAUUAGCUGUAAUGCCAGCAUUUGUACCAUUGAUGUGUGUUCUGUAUAAAUUUUUUCUUUUUAAAGUAUUGUUAGCUACUUUUUGUUUGUUAGCUUAUAUCAAUUAGCUUCCUGCUCUUGAGAAGAAAUUUACUGAUAGCUGAUUGUUAUACCUGAUAGCAUUCUACACAUUAAUGGUAUGAGGUGUGACCAUAGUCAUCCUCUCUUGUUUGUGUCAUAGUCCAAAUUUUAGAUGCUAAUGUGCCAAACCUUCUCUCUUUUUGUUUGUGUAGAGUUUUCUGUCAUCAUCAAUAAGCUAAAGGACUUUGUUCCAGUUUUAGUCAAUUGCUUCCAAGACUUUAUUCCGUUAAUUCAUAGUCUACCAAUGCUGGAUGUACAAUCAUUUGAUUGCAUGCAUAGCAUUCUUAGGAGCAUUGACCUUGUAAUCUGGUUUCUGGUUUACGAGACCAACAAGGAUAAUCCAGAAUCACAUCCUCCUAUGUUGGAUCAAAGCAUCUCAUCAACAUUACUGAAGAAGUUGCUAGGUGUAUUCCCAUUCAAUCCAGUGCAUCACCUUUCAGAAAAGGUAGGAAUUUACCAUUACUUUCAGUGUGUUUCUCCAUUAGUCUGUUCGGUUAAGAAGAAUGGUAAAAACUGACAGAAUUUAAAAAACGAACUCAAGAGGUUGAACAUACUGAAGGAUAAUUUGUUUUCCAUUUAUGGAUGGAUAAAAUAUGAUUAGCUUUUGGGGGGAAAAAUGAAUUGUCUUCACUAUUUUUUUAUUUGUUUCUUCUCAACUAAACAAAUGGAGAUAUAAUCCAUUCUUUUUCCACUGUGUGUUUCCUCCCUUUAAAACUUUGUUAAGUUUUUUUCUUUAGUAACUUGUCUUUCCUUUCUACAUGCACUCUUCUAGUAUGUCUCAAAUUCUGUAACUGUUCUUGCUUUUGUAGUACUCAACUUUUGUUUUCAAUUGCUUUGCAGGAUGAUGACAAAUACUUUAUAUUGAACGUAAUGAUUGCUGAAAUAUUUUUUAACUUAAGUGAACUGAUCUGCCCUCCUGCUGACUUACAAGAGAAAUUUCUUGCAUUUAUAGAGUAUGCACUGCUUAUAAAGGUUUGAUUCCUCACUAUCCCAGAUUUUAAUUAAAGUUGCAUCACUUUGAAAUAUUACUGUUAUGUUCAUUGAGAAAUCUUUGUCUCUUGGAAAUGUUAAUAUUAUUUUUUGAAUUUGACCCAAUCGAUCCUACUCCCUAAAAUUUAGGAAACUCAAAACUGAUUCAGCUUGUUAUACUGGUCUCUCCACUGCAGUAGUCCCAUGUUAAAGCAUUAUUACCUGCUUAAAUAACAAUAAGGCAAACUGUAAACCAAAAAACUGAAGCACAUAAUUGCAAAUAAGAAUUACUUUCAAAUAAGAAAGUAUUUGGAAUCUUAAAUAAUUUUACAUUUUCUCCUUAAAAUGGAAGAAUGCUGCCUGAAUUAAUUACUGGAGUUUCUAAUGUUUUCUUUCUAUUGUAUAAUUGAGGGAUCAUCAUAUAUGCUAUUCCUAAGUCUGAAUUGUGCAUUUGGUGAUUUAUUAACAUGUUUAUAUUUUUAUUAAUGUUUUCUGCAGAUUCGCAAUGACUCAAGGUCUGGCAGAGCAUUUAGAGAAAAGCAGAUACUUGCACUAGUUCCCUUUAUCCCAAAACUUGUAGCACAAGUGAUUGGCGAUUGGAAGUCUCGCCUUCUACAGGUUUGAAUUGUGCUUUCAGAAUAUUAUGGUAAUUAAAUUUCUCUAAUUGUGAGAUUGUAAUGCUGAUUAUGAGGAUAUUAAAGAAUCAAACCUCAAGUGCAGGCAUUUACAAAGACAUUCCUCGAUUACAAUCCAGAAUCUUCAGUAAAAUUGGCUUGCCUUUAUGCAAUUGAAAAAAUGAUUUUUCCUGUAAGUCCAACCCCUGGCUCUCAGAAAAGCUAGUUUCUUUCUCCUUAAUUACUCUUAUUAUUUGAAUCUGUACUUGGCAUUCCCGUAUGUAAGCCACUGAAUCUGUGUCCAUUUCCCUCUCCAAUCUAUUUUAUAAAAUUUUUAGAGAGAAGGAAUGCUCUACCCUGAUGAAAGUGAUUCAGAGCUACUGGAUCAUCAGAUUACUUGGAUAAGAGAGCUGCCUCUGUUGUUAAUCAUGCUGGGUGAUAGGCAGUCAACCUCUUCCCAGGUACUUAUACAAGUUACAGUGAUUUUCACGCAUUUUCCCUAUACUUGCCAUCUGUAACAUUUCCUGGAAACACUUGAGUAACUCUAUCAAAGCAAUCAUCCUUGUAGGUUGUGUUGCAUCUUCUGCUUCGCGUGGCUCAAUGUGCUAUGAAGAACUCUUUGCUUGCAUUGGAAUAUGAUGACAUGCAAUACCGUCUGCAAGAGUUCUUCAGCAUAUGUGAAGAAGGUUAGUCCUGAUUUCUUGACAAUUUCAUGUUGGUUACAUGUCCAUCUGAGCUCAACUAAAUGUUUCCUCAUUGUACUCAUUUGUGUUUAUCAGGGAAUAUAUGCUAUGGUCCUUUCAUAAAGCUUCCAAGAGAGACUCAAGAACUCUCCAUCUGUUGUCUUUAUUAUUUCUCUCACUUGGAUUCACUUCUUUUGAAGUCCAUAGCUUCUUGUUGCCUCUGUGAGUAUUACUUGUCAAUUUUUUUGAAAGUAUUACCUAAUCUGUGCCGGUGUCCCUGGUACUGAGGCUUUGAGGAAUUCACACAAAAUAGAUGAUUAGCUGCAUUUUUGAGGUGUGGUGCUUUUAUAUUAAUUAAAUUCAUAUUUGAUGUUCAUGGUCCUUCCAAGUUAAUUAUUGACAACUUUCCUGCAAAUGCUGCAAGAAAUCUCACCUCUAUGAAUGCAUGCGUCUUUUUCAUUACUUAGCAAAAAUCAUCUCUUCAAGGCACAAGACAGUUCAUUCUGUAGAUCGUAAAAUGAACAAUUGAUCCUGGACGAAACCUGAACAAAAUGCCCAUUUAAAUUUUAAAAUAUUGAAAGAGAAGUUAUUUUUGAGUUUAUCUUUUAUAACAAUCAUGGAAGACAUUUUUGCACCUUGAGAAUAAGGUUCCCCUGGAAGUUGAACACAGUCAUUACCUCACCCCAGUUGGUAUUUUACUUUUAGGAACAUCUGGGCUGUUUGAUGUCAUAGUCCAAUCACUUUCUUAGUAAAUUUUCUUACUAGUUUACAGUAUGCCAUGGCAUUAAAGUAGGGCAACAUACUAGCAAAGGAGAAUACUAAUUCAUUUUUACUGGCUGUGGUGGAACUUAAUGUUUUCUGAUCUUCUUUUCCUAUAUUGCAGGUCAUGAGUUAGAUUCAUUUGUAUUAUUUCGGAUCAUAGAAGUUUUGCAUUCUGCCUUUAAAGCUGGCCAUAUUCAGAUUACUGACCAUAUCAGUUUUUUCAUCACUUUGGUCUCCUGUUUCAGUGUUUUUCCAGGUAAGUUGAAUUAGUUCUUUAUUGUCUAGAAAAUCUGAUCAAUUAUUUUAGCUAGUUUCUAUCUGAAAAUAUGUUCAUGUCUGCAGAAAAUACUUCCCCUGCAAUGAAUGAAGAUACAAGGAUAUCAAAUCGUAGAACUUUUAAGUUGUUGACCAGUGUUGUUUGUUCAUGCCUGUCGCAGAUGGGUGAUAAAACUCUAGUUUUUUUUAUACUGGAGAAAGUUAUACUAGAGCAGUUCGUAAGUUCGUUAAAUUAGUCACAUUUUAUUUCAUGUCACAAUUUUCUUUACACUGGCUUACUGUACAUACUUAUAUUCUGAGACUUUAAUUUUGAUAAAUUCUUUGUUUUUUCUUUAAAAAAAAAAAAAAAUCUUACGGGGUCCUUAAAAGUUCCUUACAACCAUUAGGACUUAUAUUGAUAUAAUGGUUCAUAUUUCAGUUAUUAAAGCCACAUCUGGAGAAUGCCUGUGCUAUGCUGAGGAUGCUUGUUGCAUUAGACUCCAGGCCCACCAGACUUUCUGAUCAAAGUAUCAUCACUUUGAGUGAUUUCCUUUCAGGAUAUCUUAUUGAUGUUGUGCAUGUAAGUAUCUCUGUUUCAAAUUAACAUCUGUCCUCUAAUGAUUGUUCUUUUUUUGGCAAGAUGUCUCUUUUUAUGCGAAGUUUUGAUAUGCAUAACAGUUUUUUUUUUUUUUUUCCUCUUUAGACUUUAGAGCUGGAUGCUUAUACUUGCAUUAAUAAAAAGGAAAACCUUGCAAGUUGUCAUUAGAUGGUGGCUCUGUGCUGUUUCAGCAUGCAUUAAGCUGAUAAAAAUUAUUAUGAAAUAAAUCUGAAAGGUAGGAAAAGCUGAUGAUAAAAGUGAACAGCAGAUGCAGAUAGUUUGCAUCUCUGGGGCCAUUCAGAAUGAAAAUAAUGUUGUCAGUGAGUUAUAACUUUUUAUAAAUUGAUGCGAUUCUUAGCCUUUGUUUGGAUGGGGGUAUUUUUUUGAAGGGAGAAAAAUAGGCAUGGAAAGUAUCUAGAGAAAGGUGUUUUUCAUUAUUUGGGAAAGGGGAGAAAAAUAUUAAAGAAGUAAUGUUUCACUUAUUUUCCACCCAGGCCACAUAUUUCGAAUUUCUCCAAUUUAGAGAGAAAAUAAUGAAGACAAAUGAAAAGUUCACUUAUUUUUAUUAAAUUAUCCAAAUAUUCCAAAAUAACUAGAAUCACAUUUUAUUAUUUAAAAUUUAAAUAAGCGCAUAAUUGUCAAUUUCCAAUAACAACAUUAUCUUUCCUUCAAAAUUUUGCCCUUUCCAAACAUAGUAAAGCAAAUUUAUUUUCUUUUCUUCAUUAAUUCAAACACAAGGGUGAAAAAUAACUAUAGGAAAGGAAAUGACAAUUUCUCAUUAUUUUUCUCCAUUGUUUUCCUUCCUCUCAUUUCCAAACAAAGCGUAAGUAUUCUAAAACACCUGGGAACAUUGUUGCAUAGUCAACCUCAAGCAUUAGCUAGCCCUUCUGACCCUUCUAUGACCACAGACCUUUCGUUGCAUUCAUUUUGCGAUUUCACAUUUUAUUUGCGUUUUCCCUCCUCUUUUUCUUUUUCUGACACCUGGUGAUUUAUCAAUGAAUUACCAAAAAUUUCAUAAGCUGCAUGGGUAGAGAUGGAAAAUUUAUUUACUCAGACAUGUUAAUUUCAAAACUUGUGACCAAGAAGGCUCAACUAGUGCUAACAGUUAGUCAUAAUCAAAUAUCUUGGCAUCUAAUUUAAUUUUCUCUGUGUAACGGGAUAAUUUUUAUGCUGGAUUUUGAAAUUGAGAUUAAGCUUGCUGUUUUAACCUAAAUUUCUGUCGUUAAGACUUCAGUUGGAUGUCAGGUGCAUACCCAUCUCACUAGGACAUGUUCAUUUCUUGUACAUUUUUCCUCCAUUAUUAUAUAUAGAGAGUUAUGUGAAAAAAAUACCCGGUACCGUUCUGGAUGCCUGAUGUAUGUAUGAAAUGCACAGAAGAGAAUAGUGGGAAAUACUAAAUUAGCAGGGACCCAGGCUAUGGUUUUCUAAAUGAUUUUAGGUAAAUGUUAUCUUUUGGUCUUUCUUUCUUUCUUUCUUUCUUUUUUUAUAAAAAAAACAGAGAGAAAAAGAGGGUCUAUUUUCCCUUAACUUUUUGCUUACUAUGUUGUCCUUUUGGUGCAUCAAUUCCGUGUGAUUCAUCAUGAAAUUAUUUUUGCUUUCUUGCAGUGUGUUCCAGGAGAUGAUGAGGAGUCAAUGGGCUCUGUUCAUGUAUUAACACGGGGUUACUAUAUUCUGCCUUGUUUUUUCUUGUUUGAUAGAAGUCCCAAGCUCUUGAAUCUGGUGCUGGAUGUGAUGAGCUCAUCGAUAACUCAAAGUAGUUCACUUUCAUCUAGUGGUCAUACUCGUUAUACUAGGAGUUACUCGAGUAGGAUUAAUGCUAUUGUUUCAAUCCUAUUAUUGAUGCACAAGGAUGCUAAAAUGCAGCAAAUUAUUUCCUCAGCGAGGGCCGAGAUUGACCUUAUUUCAGAAAACAUAUGCUCUUUACAGGUACAGAUUUUGCUCAAACGUACCGCUUAAUUGUUUGAAGUUAGCAGGUGCUAGGUCUAUGUGAUACAGUUUUAAUCUGCACUUUAUUGCAUCUCUUGUUACUGUUUUGCAGUCUUCUGAGGAAAGCAAUCUGGACAUCGGAGAAAGGCAUAGAAUACAAAGAGCAUUAGACCAACUAAAGGCACUGACAACUUCAUUACCUCGGGAGACGCAAACAGCAUAGCAAGAUGUAUUGCCCUGAUUUAUUGUACCUCCACACUUUGCAAUGGCAUGCAUGCCUACAGUUUUGAGUUAGCUAAUAUAGAUGAUUCUAAGGUGAAAAUGUUCUCUUCAUUUACGCGUGAAUAUCACUUAUAAAAUGCAGAAAAUAUAAGGACAAAUUCUUCAUCAAUGAGAUGUGGGAAAGCCGCUUUUUCUUCUCUCACUUUACUCAUGAUUUUUGCAAAUUAGGGUUUUAAGAUUAGUGGGUACAUUUGAGUUUGGGCACAAACCAAACCAAGCAAGAGUUUCUGAUUUUGGGUUUGAAUGGGUAGAAUUAGGGAAUAAAGGUAUGGUUCAUUGUUUUAUUUUAUUUAAUUUUGUAUAUCAGUAUGUAUAUCUACUGGACAAAAAAAUUUACUGUUUCUUCAAUAUGGUGAUCGAUCCGUAAAGAGAUAGAUGGAUAAAGAUAGAAUAGAAGUGAGUAGAGCCAGCGAGAGGAGUAAACCAAAGGAAAUUGAGUCAAAAGGUCCUAUUAUCGUUCUAUGCAUAUUUGAUUAUUUUUAUUUUUUAAGGGUUAGGGUUAUGAUAUCUUUUAACAGCAGCAAAUGUUAAUAUCAAAGGAAAGAUUAUUUGUGAAAUUGGGAAAAAAAAUUCCAAACAUUAACCUUGAUCUAACUUUCAAAUUUGAUAUUGUAAGGAUUUUGAAAUUAAAUUGCAUGUAGCUCGUAAAUUUCUUGAAUUUAAUUAAAUUUUUUUUAUAUAUAAUUAUAAAAUUGAGGUUAAAUUAAAAUUAUAUGAUUCAGUUGGGCUUUUAAAAUGAUUCGAAACGAAUAAAUAAAUUUUAUUUAAAUAUAGUACUAUUAUACUUAUUGUUACCUUUUAUUAUUUUUAAUUUUUUUAAUUUCAUGAUAUUUCUAUCGUUCGAAUAAAUAAAAUAUUCAAAUUUAAGUUCUAUUUUAAAUGAAAAACUUCCACUUUCUUCAUGAGAAGCAUUCAUAGUAGAAAAUCCAAAAAGAAAAAAUCAUUAAAUAUUAUUCUUAAUUAAUGUUAAUUUCAUAUUAUUAUUACUAUUUCUCAGCCAUUAAAAUCAGAAUUUGGCGGGAAAUUAAACUUUUCAUUCUUGUUGCCGCUAAAAUAAAUUUGCGCCGAAGGGCUAAAAUCGCGAAAAUAUACGUGAAGAAACCAAAUGGGUUCUAACGGAGAGAAGAAGACGGGAAUUCAAUGAAUAAAUGCAGUCCAAAAUAAGUUUCUUCUUUAAGCCAUCCACAUCGUCGUCUUCUGCAAAGCCCGUUCAGAGUCCUGCUCCGAUUUGUCGCGAAGGUGACGAUGAAUUGGCGCUUUGGGAGAAUACUAAACACGAAUUUAUCAGUACUUACAAGCGUAGAGCUCCAAAAUCAGACGACAGGUACGAAAUUUCUUUCAUAUAAUCUCCUUCUUGUUUCUCUUUUUUCGGUUUUGAUUGGGAUUGGGAAGCUGCUUUUUUUUUUUUUUUUUUUCUUUUGUUUUUGAACUUUCAUUUUUAAUAGUUUGAUUUAUAUCUCAGUUUGGAUUCUGUUUGUUCGAUGAGAAACCUUAGGAAAGGAAAAGAAAAGAAAGCUUUCCCUUAUUCAAUCGAGCAAAUUAUACAGCUUGUCACAACAUUUAUCAUAAACCAAAUACGUCUUUUACUUGUUAGUUGAAAUUUUUUUUUUUUGGUCAAAUUUAGGGACAAGACGAUUGAAGCCAAUGAAGAUACAAUAACAAAACCAAUUUCAAGGGAUCUGAGUUUGAAACCAGAAUUAUUGAGUUUUGGGAAAGUUCUCAACAAGAAGAGAAACUACGCACAGUUUUAUUUGGACUUGGGUCAAUCUGAUUUCAAUCUCCGUACAUGUUCGAUAUGUGGGGUGAAAUAUGCCCCGGGGGAAGAAGGAGAUGAGAAGGAACAUAAAACAUUUCACAGGAAUUACACUCAUGGAGUUCAAUUCAAGGUAUAUUUGUAGACACUACAGCGGCUAAUUGAGUUUAUUUUGUUCUGUCUUCAUGAUUGAUCUAUUAUACAUGUGAAUUCUAUAGGGGUUCCAGAAUGAAAGGGUUGUUGAUAUACCUUGCAAUGAAGGGGGGCGCAUUGUUUUGGUUUUAGAUAGUGACUCUGCUGCUCAGAGGAAUAAGGUUUGCAUUUUGUCUUUCAAUUUCUCGAAUUUGGUUUUUAUGUUUUUCAAAAGAUAAAAAUUGUCGUGAAAUAGUUUUGAAGUACUUGAUACCUAUGCCUUAAGUGCAUACAGGUCCACAUGUUAAUUGGGAUGCUACUGUUUUGACAGGUACAGGAGGUUGUAAAGAUGAUGGAAAUUGAGCUUGGAGGUGGAUGGAUUUUUCGUAAGCUCUGCAAGGUAACAGAUUUGUUGAGAACUAUUAAAUUGCGACCAAUUUCUAAGCUUUUUUUUUUUUUUUUUUUCAUUUGUUAAUUUUUCUCCCAUUUAGGAUCUAUUUCAACCCCAGAAACAAUUUCAGUACAACUAAAUCAUAGUUCAUUAGCCUUUGUUUUAAAGGUUUUAAUUCUGGCUUCUUCAUAAUGCUUUGAAUUAGAAAAUUCCAUAUACCUGGUGUUUGGAGUAUAUUAGAAUUACAAUCCAAAAUCUUAUCGUGCGGUUUUGCUUUUUCACUUAUGCUUUGAUAAAUUUUGGUUUCCUAUCCUUUUUUCGUCUUUUGGAAGCAUGACAAGUCUUGAUUUUCUUUCUUUGCAAUCUUUCUGACCCUGAAGUUUGUAGGCAUAUCUUUUCAUCUGUUCCCACAGAGUCGCUGGUUGUUUAGUUGCUGAACCAAUACAAGAAGCGUUCAAAGUCCUUCCGCCUUCAGUAGAUAGAAGAUCUAAUAAUGCUACUAAAAAGGAUUCAAAAUCAAAAUGUACCACUCUCCAAUUUGGGGAUAUUAUCUUGCACAGAGAAAUAACAAAGAAAAUACCAUCUGUAAACUCUCUUGAAGUAUUGGAUAGGAACAGCAAUGGAGCUAUUGUCUGUGAAGAGGAAGCUACACCUGCUAUUUGUGGCAUUAGAGCAGUCUGGGUCACUCCGUCCAACAGAAGAAAACGCAUUGCCAGUCAGUUACUGGAUGCUGUGAGGUAAAUUAGCAAGCUUCAACUCUUUUUACAAUUCUGAUAAUUUCAAAUGUAAUUCUCUUAUACGCCGUGUUAGAACUGAGUUUAGUGUUUAUUAUUAGUCUUCCACAUAUGAGCAUUAGAUAUGUCUAAGUAGUCAAUUUCUAAUUCCUUGUUCAGUUACAAUUUCAACUUUAGAUUUUAAAAUCAAUAAACAAACCAUUGAUAUGAACUCCAAUAGAGGUUAUAAUUUUUCAGAAAUCCACUAGCAAAUAAUUGGUCUUCAUAUGAGCUUAUGUGUUACCAUUUCAAAACUUGAUAAAACAAAGAAAGUGUGAAAACAAUAAACUUACAGGUCUUGACUUUAUGAACGAAUGAGUGAAUACAUUUGUCUUGUCACUUCUAGCACUACUUUGGCGGAAUUGUCGGUCUGGCUCUUACAAUUCUGGUUCAAAAAAUUAACAUUUCACUUGUGUUUCUAUGGAAUGCAGGAGAAGUUUUUGCAUGGGUUUUACUCUUGAACAAUCCCAGAUUGCAUUUUCACCACCAACCUCAGCUGGAAAGGGAUUGGCAUCCAGUUUUACUGGCACUGCAUCUUUCAUGGUAUACAAGCCCAUUGCUUUAGACGGUUGAAUGCUCUCAUUUUAGCCCUCUUUGCAUUACCCGUUGUGGUUUGGCAUAUAAGUGAGUUAGAAAAUAAUAAUAUGCUUUAAUUGCACACUAAUUGAUGGAUUAAAAAAAAAAAAAAAAAAAAAGAUGGUAUGUGAAUUUUGUUUUUCUUCACCUAGUCAACAAUUAGUUGUGGCAUGUUUAUGUGUUCACUUUAUCCUCGUCUCCAUUGAAAUUUGUAUCCAAUUGUGGUAAUGUAUCCCUACUUACUAUUGGUAGAAAAAGAAAGAAUCUUUCUUAAGGUUUCAAGAAGUUGAACUUUUUGAGAUGUUUAUUUUGCAAGAAGUAAACUCAAAAGGUUGAAUCCGUUGAGAAAUAGGUAGAAUUGCUUUGUUUUUCUUUUCCUUUUUUUUUUUUAUUUUACAAGAAAGAACAGAUUCAAAUUUUUCAGCAUUGAAGAAGCAAUGCAUUAGGAAUUUAAAUGUUUAAUUUCUUGAGUGGAAAUAGAAUAAAAUUACUUGAAAUGAUAAUAUUUCUAACCUAAAAGAAAGGAACAAUAUCAUAUUUUUCAAUGUACUUUUAACCUAAAAAAAAGAUUUAUGAACUUAAAAAGAAAAUUAUGAACUGAAACUACGCAAAUUCAAAAUUAAUAACCUAUCAACAAAUGUCAAUUUCCGAUACGCACAUUAGAGCCAAAUGAACCUUACAUUUUGAGGGAUGUUAGGGUAAAAACAGAUACAAAUGAUUCACAAAUCAAUUAUUCAAACUUCAGGUUUCAACGUCUCAUCAAUAAGCUUUCAAAUGAUCAUCUCUUGAUCAUGUAAACUUUAAUCAAGAUCAUUAAAAAAGAAGCAUGUUUCGAUUCUGCUUUAUUUCAUCUGUAAAUAGAGACCGGUAAUCUAAUCAUCCACAUGAUUGAACAAGUUGCAUAGAAGAUUCUUAUAUACGCGGCUAAAUUGAAUACAAAACCUGGCAAAGCACCAAAAAGAAAAAGGCUUUUUGCUAUGCUAUCAAUGAGAUUUACUAAAUGAACAUUUUGACGCGGGUUUACGAUAGGGAGGACUUUAUAUGCAUUUUGGCGUUAGUUUCAUUUUGAGCAGAGUAAUUCCCUUCAUCUUCAUCUCCCUGAAGAUAUGGACCAAAUAGCUUCAUAACUUGUUCAUAAACAGGUUUCUUGAAAUCCACAGCCUGUUUAACCAAACAAAAUAAGUAUCUACCUACAAAUAUAGAACUUACAGCAAGUUUUUUAUCCAGUAAGGUUUUACUCACAAGCUCUACUACUCGCUCCGGUAACAUCCAUGACCAGUCCUUGAAUUCUGGCUUUUCAGAUCCAUCUCCCAAAAGGUUGAUCUCUUCCUCCUUACCAGUAAACUUAAAUAGAAACCUGUUAUUAUUUAAAAAAUUGUUUGCAUAAGGCAAUGUUUAGAUCAAGAAAAAGAAGUAUGAAACUAAACAUUAAUGGGCAGAACCAACUCCAUAUUUGCAAUUCUUUUAACAUGAGAAAUUAUUCGAUCUUGCUUAAUGAUUUCCCUAAAUUGUAAAUACCAAGACAGUUUCCCUAAAUUGUAAAUACCUCCCUAAAUUGUAAACACCAAGACAGUUUCCCUAAAUUGUAAAUAGCCCUGCUUAUGAAUUCAAUUAACAGAAUUCUGCAUAUCGAAACUAAAUUUUAUAUAAAAUCUAUAUCUCAAAUUCAUUUAUACCAACCAAGUGCUAAGGUAAAUGACAAAGAAAGAAUACAACUUUUAACAAUAAGCAAAGUCCAUUUGUAAAGCAGAAUAAACAAAAUUCUGGGAACAAGUACACAAUGGCCGGAACAGGAGAUAAUCACAAAAUCAGGUUAUACAACACCCUGCAUAAUAACAAAUAAGCCCCCCAUUUCCCUACAAACAAUUCCCUGAAAUUGGAUGUUUUAAACCAUUACAAAUCAUAGCCAACCGAUAAUUAACAGCAGAAAAUACAGCAAACAUAAGGAAGACAACGGCAUGAGCUUGAAUUGAUGAUAGAUACGAUGAAUAAUAAUAAAGUAGCUAAAACACACUAGAUAGACCAUUUCAAUGUUAUUGCUUUUUGAGAGAGAAUUUGCUCACCAUUUCUGUGCUUGACCUUUGUAAUUUGUACCCCAUCUGCGAUUAAGUCUCUCUCUAACUUGAAGUGGGAAGUCAUAAGUUAGCCAGUAUGGAGCCUGUAAAUACAAAAUCAAUAUCAGCUGAAUAAUAUAUGAAGUAAACAUGUCUUUCCAUUCUCUAACAUGUUCUGCAUGACACAAAAUAGUGCAUGUCAAGACAAUUAGCAUUCAAGUAGGCAAACCGAAAAUAACAAGCUAAAUACCUCGGCGAGAAGCUCUGCAGAAGUAACUCCUGUUUCUUCCCUCAAUUCUCUCAUCGCUGCAUUUAUAAGGUCCUCACCUUCAUCAGCACCCCCCUGUUAAAUACAAGCCCAUGAGGCCAUAGUAAUACAAAUCCUUCUUAUAUGUUAUUUUAUCUCUUCAAGCUCCUCUCAUCCCUUAAUAUGGAAACAACUCAAACGAAACCCUACUCAUAUUAACAAGCAAAUACUUAAAUUAAAUAGAAUUCAAAAUUGCUACUCCAUUAAUUUCCCAUCAAUUCAACGAAAACAAGCUACCAGUAUCUUUUCCAAUGCCAAUUAUUGAAAGCUAUAUCUGAAGCUAAAAUCGAAUUUAAACAAAACCCAUAAAAGAACUGAAUCUACCUGAGGCAUUUGCCAAGUGUCUGGUAUGUUUAUCCUCGAAGCUGUAAAGAUCUACAAAUUAAACCCAAAAAUUACCUAAUUAACGAACCCAAACAACUCAUUUCAUAUGUAAAAACAAAAAUUCGCCUCAAAUUUCUAACCUGUUUAGAGGGAUUAACGAGACAUAUCCCUACAUUUCUUCUAUACCCUUGAGGAGGCGAUUCCAUUGAUAAGGCUGUUAGAGAUAACGAAGCAGACACCUUCCAGGGUUUAUUCUUCAACGUCAACAAUGGUACGGGCGCAAAUUCGCCAAACUUUGAAGGGCAGUUUCGACCUGAGAACCGAUAAACUUGGGGAUUUCGUAGAAACUCACACGACCCCAUCGCGACGCGUCGUUUUUGCGGUUUCUGGUAACUUACUUGGUCCCCAAGUCAGUAUAUAAACCGUUUUGAGAAAAAACUACAUGCUUUCCUCUCACGCUCUCUGGUUAUUAAUUUCCAUUAUUCCCAAAAUACCCCAACCGCCUUUCUGUAUUUACCAUGUCAUCCCUCUGUUGCCUAAAGGGCAAAGGCUAAACCCCGCCAUUUAUAUAUAAGCCCCUCUCCUCUGUUUUCACUUGACAGCCAAUUCUCUUCGUUUUCAUGUACUCAAAACCCCCAAAUUUCACCUAAUCCGUGACGUCAUCUUGCCGGAAUCGGGCGUGAAUAAUGAUGGAGGAGGAGUUUGUGACGGCUAAGUCCAUGGGGUCUUCAUUUUCGGUGGUAUUCUACGACGGCGAGCAGGAGACUAGCCUUGGCAACGUCGUCGUUUCACCUUCCUUGAAUUUCAAAGCUUUUCAAUCGACUAUUAGCGAGAAACUCGGUUUGUCUCCUCACCAGUUCUCUAUUUACAUGACGGACCAGAAUAGGCGUGGCUCCAGAAUCCCUGUGACCGGAAAGAUUGAUUUCUCAGCGGUUUCUCGCGAGAAGGAUUGUUUCUUUCUCGUGGUUCUUAAGCGAUCGAGGCGCGAGAGGAGGCGAAAAAGCCGCGAAGUUGCCGAAAUUAUGCAGAACAACCACCGGUUCGAUCCACCGGCGAAUAUGAUGCUCUUAAGGCGAGACGGUAAUACUAUUGCAAUCAACACUAACGAGUUUUCAGGUGUUGAUUUGGGUCGGGCCGGGUACGAAAGACGGGUCAAGGAGUUGCAAAUGGAGAAAGAAAGGUACUUGAUGAAUAUGGGUUUGGGUUCGGGUAUGGUCUAUGAAGGGCUGAGUUUGGGAUCAGAAAGAGUUAAUAAUAGAACAGUAGUUUGUGACGAAUGCUUGAUGGCUAAAGUGAUGGGUAGAGAUGUUGGAUUCCAUUGGUGUGUUAACGACACUGUCACUUUCGGAUUCAGAUCGCCGGCGGGCCCGAUUGCCCGGCCAAUUAAAGGAUCCGAUUGAGAAUUUUUUUUGUUUUGAUUGAGGAUUUACUUCUGUGAAUAGCAGAAAAAAAAAAAAAAAAACAAGAGAAGAGGAAGGUGAGAUGAUUUGGUGUGGUAUAGUGUACGGUAAGGAAGGGUGUACCUUACUACACAAAGUACAUGAAAAUAUAUACUGAAUCUGACCCUUAAUAAGUUAGAUUAAGGGGUAUAGUAAUGAAGGUGUAUUGGUAUAUACGAAGGACAUUUUGUGCCUCCAAAGAAGUAGGGAUUCUGCUUUUGGCUACAUAAAACAAAAUACAAUUGGGUUGUGAAUUGUUAAAAUGGAGAAGGUGACAUUUGAUUUUAGGUUUUGGGUUUUUCUUGGAAUCUGGCUUCCAAUUGAAGAAGAAAAAGAAAGAGUGGCAAUUGAUGGUAGGUGCUUUUUGGUUAAGCUUUCAAGUAUUGCUAAAAGGAUAUUUUGGUAUCAAAGAGGGCAUUAUUGAUGUUUGAUUGAAAAAUGAAAAGAGAACUAUUCCUUUCUUUUUCUUUUUUUCUUCUUUUCUUUGGUUGUGUUUUUUAUUUUAAGGCCAAGGCCUUUUUGUCUUUGGGCAUGUGAAGUGUGAAGUGAAGCUGCUUAGCUUUAAUUUGUAUUUCCAAUGCAAUAGUACUCAAUUGGGGACAUUUAUUAAAAGGAAAAUAGCAUUAGUAGUACCAUCCUGCUUAACAGUUGUGACAAAUAAAAUGGGUUCUUCCUAGCUGUUUAUCAACUUGUUGUGAAUCAAUUUAUAUUUUAAUGUCAAUGUAAUUGUUAGGGCCAAUUAUGAUAUGAAGGUUUUAAGUUGGGGGUUGCUACUCUGCCUUUAGGGGAAAGUAAGAAGACUUUUACCUUGACUUAGAAAAAAAUUACCACUUUUUAUAAAAUAUUAAAACAUUUUACAGAACAUUGAAAUUUGAAUUCAUUGUUUUGUAAUUCAGCAAUUUUAAAAAAAUCACUUAUUACAAAAUAUUGCAAAAUAUUAGAAAAUAUUGAUAAAAAAGCUAUAAUUUUGUAACUCAUCAUUUGAAAAAAAAACAAACAACUAUCUUUUAUGAAAUAUUAUAAAAUAAUGGUAACUGUGGCAAUCGGGGAUUAUUUGUAAACCACUAACUUUUCAUUAAAAAAAAGGGGUCACAUUUUACAACAUAUUAAAAAGUAUUAUAAAAUAUUGACAAUUGAAGUUAGUAUUUUGAAAUCCCACGAUUUUGACAAAAAAAAAAAAAAAAAAUCACUUAUUACAAAAUAUCAUGAAGUAUUAUAAAAUAUUGGCAGUUGGAGCUAUUAUUUUGUAAUUUGACAAUUUAAAAAAAAAUAACUUUUUUAUAAAUUAUUGAGAAUUAUACAAAAUAUUGGUAAUUGGAGCUAUUAUUUGUAAUCCAAUAACUUUACAAAAAAUAGUCAUUUUUUACAAGAUAUUUUAAAAUAUUACAAUAUAUUUUUGUAAUCGUGCUUAUUAUUUUGUAAAUUGUCACUCUUUACAAUAAACAUCCAUAAAAACUUGAUUGCCUUGAUUUUCCUUCAAGGCAUUAUAGAAAAUGCCUUUAUGUUGUCUUCCAAGAAAUGAUCUACUCCAUUCUCAAUCGAUUAACGUUCUCUCUUGCCCAUAUCUUAUAUCUUGAAGGCAGCAAUCAUUUUUUUUUUUUUUUUUUUGUCUUGUAUUAUUUAUUACUCCCUCCAAUUCAUUUAUUUGAACUGAAAUUGCCAGAAAUUGUUCAUAAAUUAAGAAAUGGCAGUUUUUUUUUUGCUGAAAUUUUUUUUUUUUUUUUUUUUUUUUUUUUCUCAUUUGCCCCCAACAUUGCAUUAACUACAUCUUUUUUUUCUUUUGAAGUCAACUAUCUCACGCUGAUUUCAUCCAACAAAAGGCAUUUAAUGUUUUUAAUCCAAAAUUAACAUAUUGAAUGGAGGAAAAUUACCACAUUGCCCAUGAUUGAAAUUAACUUCCUAUUUUGCUUUUGCAGGGAAAUUUGAACUGAAUUGUUAACUUUACAUAUGUGCAUAUUUGAUAAUGAAAAUAUGAAAAAAUUUUGAUUUUGGGGUCAAAGUUUUACCGUCUCCUCAAUUCCUUCACAAAUGGCUUUAUAUAAAUAAUAACAUUUCAGACUGAAGUUUUUUUUACAUUGUGUAAAAUAAAAAAUAAAAAUCACUUUCUAAAUAUGUUCAUUGUAUACGUUCGACCUUAACGUUCUAUCUUCCAUUUCACCCCUCUGAUUCUAAAAAUGUUCAUUAUCCUUCAAAAAGUCUUAUGGAUAUUUGAUCAUAUACCAUCUUCCUAGUACAUGUAGUUGGAUUGUACCAAUUCAAUGCUGAAAAUUUUGGCGAUCCAUAAUGUAUUUUUCAAUAAAAGACAAAAAGAGAAUUAAACAAAAAACAUUAGCAAAGGGCUUUUUUUAAUAACGAAUAUGCUAUUAUCUAAUAUGUAAGAAGUGUGUGAGAUGAAUGCAAUAUUUCAAGUUACGCGCAGUUGAUAGCGCCCAUAAAAUGAACUUUUCGUACAGAGAGAAAAAUUGAUAAUAACUUUGCAUUGGUAACCCAAGUACUUUCAAUGCAUUAGAUGUAUUUUGUGCAUCGCUUUCUUGUUAUUUGCAUGUAUUAAUGCCUGUAAAUAAAGCUAAAUAAAGGGUAAUAUGGACUUUGUACUUUAGCAUUAUUCCAAAUUCAAUAAAUUAUCUAUUUAAAUGAAAUACAUUAAUUAGAAAUUUUGUCCAAAUAAAUAAAUUAGAGAGAGUAUGAUUAUUUUACUCUUUGUAUUAGUUUUAACUAUAGUUUCUCCUUAAAUAUGAGUUAGUGAUCAACUUACGGUUGGUUUGAUUUAACCUGAACUAAAUCAAUCCAAAUUAUAUAAAUUGAAAUCUUUUAAGAUUAAUAUUAAAUUGAUUAGUAUUUAAAAUUAUAUUGAAUUAAAUCAUAUUGAUUUGGUUUUGUCAAUUUUUAGCCUUUUUUUUUCCGACGAAUUUAAGUUUAUUUUAGACUUAGUGAAAAUCAAAUCAAAUUAGAUAAAGAAAAUUUUUUUAUAUUAAAAUCAAAUUCAGACUGAAGUUAUCGCAAAUCGAACUGGAUCAAAUUAAUUUGGUUCCAUGAUUUAUAUUGAACUAAGCUUAGCCGGAGAUAUAAGGCGCAAGCUUUGCUUCUCCUUUUAGAUCGAAGGCUUUUGCUUCUCACUUUGAUAGAGAUAUGUUGCUCUCGAGAUGAGGAUUGUGCAUUGGCUCUUUCUACAAAAAUUCAAGUUUCUAUAGCUCCUUCAGAAUGACCUUUUGGUUCUUCAAUGAUGGGUAUGAUCAAGGUUUUUAAACUUGAUUUGAACAAAAGGCGGGUAUUGAUCAGAAAACUUCUUCAGCGGGAUCGAGAUGGUAUGUCAGUGGAGGAAUAUGAUGCUUUACGAACAUAAUGGAAUAUGAUUCUUGACACCGAUGAUCUGCAGCGUAGACAGCAGGCUAAGAUUUUUUAGGCUCAGUAUGGAGAUAAAAAUUCCAAAUUUUUUCAUGCAAACAUUAAGGGUCGACACAGGUAGAACAAUAUUUUGGGGUUAUAGUCAGAUGUAGGGAAUUAUGUUCAAGACAAGAAGGGUAUCCUUUGGCUGAUAUUUGAUUAUUUUCAUUGAUUAUUUGUUUCUGGGAACUCCAAUCCAGAUGGAUUAUGGGACUGGUUAAUAAAAGAGUUACGGUUCAGGAUAAUGAACUAUUAUUAGCCCCUUUUACUGCGGAGGAGUUUCGCACGGCUGUGUUUCAAAUGCAUCCAAAUAAGGCUAUAGGAUCUGAUGGCCUAAAUCCUGUAUUUUUCCAACGAUUCUGACAUAUCAUUGGAAGGGACGUGGUGACUGGCUGUACUUCUUUGUUGGAACAAGGCAUUUUCCCGCAUAGCGUUUCUGAUACUUUGAUUGUGCUAAUUCCAAAACUUAGUACAUUAUAGGCCUAUUUCUUUAUGUAAUGUGUUGUAUAGAAUUUUGGCUAAAGUUUUAGCGAAUAGGCUUAAGAAGAUUUUACCCCAUGUUAUUUCUCAAAGUCAGUCUGUUUUUGUACCUAGUAGGCUAAUUACUGAUAAUAUCUUGGUUGCUUUUGAGACUAUUCACAGUAUGAAAAGGCUUUCUUGGGGUAAUACAAGGUCUGUAGCUCUGAAGAUAGAUAUCAGUAAGGCUCAUGAUAGGGUGGACUGGGAUUUUUUGAAAUACAUGAUGAACGGCUUAGGUUUUGAUUCUAAAUGGAUUGAGUGGAUGAUAUUAUGUGGUAUCGCAUGUUUCUUAUUUUGUUUUGGUUAAUGGGGAGGUUGUGGGGCCUAUUGAGCGUAGAAGGGAUAUUAGGCAAGGGGAUCUGUUAUCUCCAUAUCUUUUUAUUUUAUGUGCUGAAGGACUAUCAGUUUUAUUAAAUGAGGUAGAGCGAAGGGGGGAGAUACAUGGGCAUCAUGAAGGGGUCGGGUGUCCACGAGUGUCCCAUCUUUACUUUGCAGAUGACUCUCUUUUAUUUUUUAGGGCUAAUAAGCAGGAGGGUCAAAGGGUAAAGGGAAUUUUGAGAGAAUAUGAAUAUGCGUCUGGCCAAGCAAUUAACUUUCAAAAAUCCGGUAUUUUUGUGAGCCCGAAUGUUAAUAAUAAAGUGUGUGCUAGGGUAUCGGGGCUUUUGGAGGUUCAUAAUCCUGUAGGAGGGGGUAAGUAUUUACGAUUACCAUCUUUGAUCGGACGUAAUAAACGCUAGAUUUUUUCCUUUUCAAAGACCCGGUUAUAGAAUAAGGUUCAUGAAUGGCAGAAUAAAUUAUUGUCUUAGGCUGGGAAGGAGAUUUUAUUAAAGUCUGUAGCGCAAGCACUUCGUACAUAUUUGUAAGGGUGUGAGUCCAGCAUCCUUACCCAUGGUGCCUUACCAUGGCGACCCUAUGGACGAAAUAAGGCUAUUGGAGACGAGAAUAGCAUGUUGAAUGGCAUAUGGACCAAGAAUAUGAGAGGGGAGAUCCGGUGUAAUUCUCUCCGCCUCCCCGGGGCCGGGAUGCGGGACCCAGCCCUAGUGAGCUAGGUGCGGGCAUCAUGUCUAUGAAGAGGGAUUGAUGUCUCCAUAGAGAAGGAGCUCUAUGGACACUAUAAGGCCGAGGGCCUAUAGUGCGCAUCUCUCCUCAAGUGAAGGUUUCGGUAUAGGCAGGACUAUGCAGCCCGGGAUGCCCGAAGGCAUUGAGCCCAUAUACGGUAGUGCGAGAUCCUUGGAUAUGCAUUGCUAGAUGAGUCCUACAGUCGGAAAGGAUGCAAAGAACCUUUGAAUAUGCAUGGCUAGCCUAGAUUAUGAGCUAAUUCUAGGCGCCACACGCGUGCCAAAGGCGCCGAGAUUCUGGCACCGAGAUUCUAGGCGCCAAACUAUAAAAAUAAUAAUAGUUUGUUAAUUGAUUAAAAGAUGUAGCAUAGACUUGCUAUACUGAUGAAAUCAAGAUUUUUUUAAGGGGUCAAAAUAUAACACUUAGUGAAUUAAAAUGCAAAUCAUGUCUAAUAGAUCAUCUGUCUUUUAACAAGUUAUAAAAUGAUUUGUUAUUUUUGUGCAAGCAUUGGACAACCAUGGUAGUCCUAUUAUUUCCGUCUAUACAAUAAUAAUCCAAAGAUUAAAAUUGAAAAGGUGGACAAACGCCAAAUUGAAAGUAACUUGUUACCUAUUAUAAAAGAUAAUGGAAAAAUAUAACACCCAGUAAAUUAGAAAGCAAAUCAUGUCUAAUAAAUCACUUGUCUUUUAACAAGUUACAAAACGAUCCUUUUUUUUUUUUUUUGUGCAAGCGUUGGACAACUAUGUCAGUCUUAUUAUUUUCGUUCAAACACAAUAAUGCAAAGAUUAAAAUUUGAAAAUUGGACAAACGUCAAGUUGAAGGUAACUUAUAACCUAUUGUAAAAGAUAAUUGAACAAUAUAACAUCUGGUGAAUUAAAAUGCAAAUCAUGUCUAACAGGUGACUUGUCUUUUAACAAGUUACAAAAUGUUUUUUAGUGCAAACUGUUGGACAACCAUGGUAUCAUGUCUAACCGGUGACUUGUCUUUUAACAAGUUACAAAAUAUUUUUUAGUGCAAACUGUUGGAUAACCAUGGUAGUCCUAUUAUUUCCGUCUAUACACAAUAAUCCAAAGAUUAAAAUUGGAAAGUUUGACAAACGCUAAGUUGAAGGUAACUUAUUACCUAUUAUAAAAGAUAAUCAAAAAAUAUAAAACCCUGUAAAUUAGAGUGCAAAUCAUGUCUAACAUAUCACUUGUCUUUUAACAAGUUACAAUUGAACAGUUUUUUUAGUGCAAGUGUUAUGACAACCACGGCAGUCCUAUUAUUGUCGUCUAUACACAAUAAUCCUAAGAUUAAAAUUGGAAAGUUGGACAAAUGCCAAGUUGAAGGCAACUUAUUACCUAUUAUAAAAGAUAAUCGAAAAAUAUAACACCCGAUGAAUUAGAAUGCAAAUCAUGUCUAACAUAUCACUUUUCUUUUAACAAGUUACAAAAUGCUCCGUUUUUUUUGUGCAAGUGUUGGACAACCAUGCAGUCCUAUUAUUUUCGUCUCCACACAAUAAUCCACAGAUUAAAAUUGGAGAGUUGGACAAAUGCCAAGUUGAAGGUAACUUAUCACCUAUCAUAAAAGAUAAACGAAAAAUAUAACACCCAGUGAAUUUGAACGCAAAUCAUGUCUAACUUAUCACUUAUCUUUUAACAAGUUACAAAAUGAUCCGUUUUUUGGUGCAAGUGUUGGACAACCAUGGCAGUCCGAUUAUUUCCGUCUAUACACAAUAAUCCAAAGAUUAAAAUUGGAAGUUAGACAAACGCCAAGUCGAAGGUAACUUAUUACCUAUUAUAAAAGAUAAUUGAAAUAUAUAACACUCGGUGAAUUAGAAUGCAAAUCAUGUCUAACAGAUCACUUGUCUUUUAACAAGUUACAGAAUGAUUUCUUUUUUUAAUCCAAGUGUUUGAAUAACCAUGACAAUCCUAUUAUUUCCGUCUAUAUACAAUAAUCCAAAGAUUAAAAUUAAAAAGUUGGACAAAUGCCAAGUUGAAGGUAACUUAUUGCCUAUCGUAAAAGAUAAUCGAAAAAAUAUAACACCCGGUGAAUUAGAAUUCAUAUCAUAUCUAACGGAUCACUUGUCUUUUAACAAGUUACAAAAUGAUCCCUUUUAUGGGGUCAAAAUAUAACACUCAGUGAAUUAAAAUGCAAAUCAUGUCUAACAGAUCACUUGUCUUUUAACAAGUUACAGAAUGAUCCGUUUUUUAAGUGCAAGUGUUGGACAACCAUGACAGUCCGAUUAUUUCCAUCUAUAUGCAAUGAUGCAAAGAUUAAAAUUGAAAAGUUGGACAAAUGCCAAGUUGAAGGUAACUUAUUAUCUAUUAUAAAAGAUAACCAAAAAAUAUCAUUUUUGCCUUUCUCUUAAUUCAUUCUCAUUUGUCUCCUCUCUGUCCACUCCAUCUUCCCUCACUAAUUUUUAUUUUUUCCCUAAAAUAUUUUUUUCUUACUACCCAUUCGGAAAUUUAAAUAUGUACUUUAAAACUCAUUAUUACUAUUUAAAAAAAAUUGUUAUAUGACCUUUUUAUAAAGCCAUGUUGGCACGCUAAUUGCUGACCCAUUUAUAAAUUUUUAUCUUUGAGCCUUGAUUAAUUAGUUAACGAUUGGGCUUACUCUUUAUUAUUAUAUGUUUUUAAUGUUCGACACACCUUAAUUAAUUAAUUUGAGGGUCUCUACUUUCUCUUAAAAUCUAAAAACUCUCUUUUUUUUUUUCUUUCGCUGGAGGCCACAUGUGGUCAUUCAUUUCCCUUAUUUAUUUAUUUUUUCGAAGAAUCCCUUAGAUUUAUAUUUUUUAAUACAUAUUUGAACUAUUGUUGUCUGAAUAUUGAUAUUUGUUAUUACUCAUAUCUUGAGAUUUUGUUUUCACAUGUAGUUCUUAUUUAUAUUGUCACCGUUAUGGUGAUUUUAUUUAAAGUAUUUUAUCAUUUGGACAGUUAUACAGAAAAAAGUGCAUAUCUACUCUCUAAUAGAAAGAAGAAAUUGAAAGUCCUCAUAUCAAACUUGUAGAAAGACAAUAGAGUCGAAUAAUGGCCAUGAUAGCCACCAAGUGAAGUAAAUGAUCGCCUACGCACAAAUAUUAUGCUAUGUUAACUAAAUCAAAUACUUCAAAACAAGAUUAUGUUUUUUUUUUUUUUUUUUUUUUUUUGUAUAAGUGGUUUAUUAGUAGACUUUCGGCUCUUUGUCUUAAUUGCGUCUGUUGUAAUUACUAUCUGCAUUUCCAAUUCUUGCUAUUUAUUUCUAAUUUUAUUUUUUAUAAAGUCCUAUAUUGAUUACAAUUUUUGUAAUCUAUUUUUUUGAGUAAUUAUUUUGUAAAAUUACAUAUGAACAUUUGGUGCAAUAUAUACCUCUCUGUUUUGAUUUUUCACAAGAAUUAAAAAAAAAAAUUUUGAACCAUCCUAAUUCUAGAAAUAAAAUAAAAGUUCAAGUAAUGCUCAAUUAAUUGAGGCAAAAUUUAGUAUAAAUAUCUUGAUAAGAAAAAAUUAGAAUAAAAUAAUUAAUAUUACUUUAAUUUUCUAAAAAUAUAAUUUGAAUGAAGUAAAAAAUUUAAAAACUGUCAAAUUUAACAUAACGUAGUAUCAUUUGUUUUAAAGUCAAAAAGGUCCAUUUAAUUUAUUUAGGAUCUGUUUGACAAUAUUAGUUAUUUUAGGCUACAUUUGACAACAAAUUUUUUAAGUAGUUUUUAAUGUUUUCUAAAAAGUUAUUCAAACAGCUAACAGUUAACCGUUACUAAAACAACUAACUGCUACUAAAAUAACUCAUUUUGCUGAACAUACCAUUAGACUAUAUUCGGUAAUAAUUUUUUAAGUAGUGUUUAAUGUUUUGACUAGUCAAUAUGUUAAACGUUAUCUUUUAUAAUAUUCGGUAAUAGAACGUUUGAAUUAGUUUUUAGAAAAUAAGAUUUUAAUAAAAAAUUAACUCAGAUAACAUUUAGACUUUAGUGUUUUAUGAAAAACUACUUAAAUAGGCACUAGCUAUUCAAACAACUAAACGCUAUUAAAACAGUUAACAACUACCAAAUCAACCAAUUUUGUUGAACAAGCCCUUAGUAGAUGUUAGUUGUAGUAAUUGUUAGUUGGUCUAUUAGCUAUUAGCUAUUAGGUGUUAGUUUUUAGCUGAUAGUUAUUUAUAUAGCAGUUUAAAUUAGAAGUGUUCAUUAAAAAUAGUUGUUUAACUUAAAAUGAUAAAAAAACAGACAUUCAUUGUUUAAUUAGCAGAAUUCAAGGAAAAAAAAUAAUGGGUAUAUAUGCUUAUCAAAAAAUUUUAAUUAAAAGCUAAACGUUGGAGUCUUUAACGAUUUACGAAAAACUUUAUAACCUUCUAAAACCUACUAUAAAAGUAACGUUAACGCUACAAUUAAUAAAAAUAAAAUUUUGACUUAGGUCAAUAUAUUAAAAGUUAUCUCAAAAACUAUUGAUAGUCCGCGUCUUAGUUUGGUUUAUUUAAUAACUAGCACGCCCAACUUUGUUUUCAAGUUGUUUACAGCUUUCAAAUUAUUUUUCUGUUCAUUUUUUGAAGCCACAUCAACACCCCAUGAAUCAAAUUGCUAAUUAAUUUCAUGUCUAUUUUGAAAUACAUUGAUAGAGACAAUUAACGAUAACUGUUAUUCCCUCCAAUUUUCAGUUUCUUCACACAAGAAAAUGAUUAAUUUACCUUAAUUCUAUAAAAUUUUCAUUUCAAAUUACCUAAAUACUCUUUCACCUUUUUAAAUUUUAAUAUUUCCUUUGGGUAAAGAAAAUUCAAUAAAUAAGGGUAAAGAAAUAAAAAGGCAAUAAAUUCUUUUUCAAAUUCUAAAAAUCUUAAAAAUUGAUAGUUUUAGGGGAACAAAGAAAGUAAUUACAAAAGCAUUAAUUAAAGAGUUUCUUAAAUUUUCAUUGAGUUGAAUAAAAUUUAAAAAUUUUUAAAAUAUAUAGGUCAGGGAAUUAAAAAGUACUACAUAUAUUCAGAGAAUUAAAAAGUAUUAUUAUCUUCGUUUAAUUUUGACACUUUUUGACUUUUUUUUUACAAAAAUUAAGAAAAUAAUUAAACUAUUUAAAUUUUUAAAAAAUAAAAAUAAAUGACUAAAUUAUCCUCUUACUAAUUUUUAUAAUUAAAACGGACAAAUUAUAAUGAUAACAACCAGAUAAAGGUGGUAUCAAAAUAAUAAUUAAUAUUACUACUUUUGAAUUUUAAAAAGUAUGAAUUAAGUGAAUAAAAAAUGUGAAAAAAAUAUUAAAAUUAACGAAUGGAGGUAACAAAUAUAUCAUAAGAUGUAUUUUCAAUAAGAAUUUAUAUUAUAUAUCAUUCGAUGUACAUGUGGACAACUAGCCGUUAUAAUUUGAUUAUCAUAUUUAGGUUGUCAUAUUUAAGUUAUUACUACAUUUAUUAAUCUAAUACUUAUGCUCCCUUUUUCUUUGUUAAGAGAAAACAGAAAAUGCACAAAAGUGAUAGUUAAAUUGAAUACUUUUUCCAUUUUUAUUUAAUAUAUUCUUAAUUUGCAUUAAUUGCUCUAUUAAUUAUGAUGGAGCUAACUCAUAAAAAGAGUGUCUUAAGGGCACACUUAUUCAGCAAUUAAUGCCUAAAAUGGAAAAAUAUUUAAGGAAAUGCUGCAAUUGUUUUGAGAAUUUAAAUUUUUUCAAAUUUGACUUUCCCACAUUUAUAUCAAGUAUUGAGCAAUUUCAAUGAUAUGCACCCAAAUUUAAUGAAAAUUUGGAGUUAAAAUUUUUUGUUACCGCAACAGUCUUCUCAGUGUGAUUACAUAAAAAUUUCUACCUGACCUAAAAUAUGUUAUUGCAUUCACAGAGUUUUAAAAAUAAGGGGUUAUAAUUUUUCAUACUUUAUAGAUCCAUUAUUUUUUAUCUUAAUGACAUUCCAAUUAAUUCAGACAUAUAUUCUGAAAAUAUGCGUGCUAUUUUUUAAUUGACAGACUUGAACUACUUACUUGAUGACCAAAAAUGAAUUUUCGAAAACAUAAUAUUGAUAAACAAAUAUAAAAAAAUGAGCAUGCAUUUAUAAAUGAAGCACAUUAGAUUUGUACUCCUUAACCAAAACAGAUUUUUGUGCAAUAUAUUUUUAAUAUAAACACAUUCGUUAACUCUUCAGAAGUUUAUAAAUUUGUGAUAAAACAAUUGUUUACAUUUGCUUUGAAAACACAAGAGCAUUAAAUGUCUAACCUUUUUUUUGUCUGUCACUUUCUCUUGCUAACCAUAUACAAUUAACACGGAAACUCAAAUCAAGUGAGAAUUCAAUUCAAAUAAAUUUCUUUACGUAAAAAAUAUUCUAAAUAGAAUUUUUUUCUAAAUAAAGAUAAUAUAUGGAGUAAUGUUAAAAUUUAAUAGCAAUUAAAUAACAAUUUAUGAACAAAUGGCGCUAUUAUUCUUUUUAUAUAUUAACAUGAUCAUUAACCGUAUACUAAAAUUCUGACAUGGAAUAUUUCUUCAUCUCACAAUGAAAUGAAAUGUCUUAGGUUUUUUUGUUUCUUUAAUAACCGCUAAACUGAGUCACAAAGAAGCUAUACUAUUAAUGCAUAAUUGCAUUCCUAUGAUUAAGACAGCACAAGUCACCAUCUCAUCAAUGGAGGAGACCUCACGAUAAGGUUAAUGGCCGCGAAGCUAUAUUAGUAUUUUCUCUGAAAUGAACACCGGAUCGACACGUGUCACUGAAGAGAACAGACUGCUAACAGAUAUUGGCGUUGAUUUCUUUCUGGCAACACAUCGGCUAAUCGCCUAACCCAAUACUACCGGCUCUACCUUCAAAAAGUACGAAAAACUUGAAACUCGCGUCAUAUGAUCACCGCGUGUCCAGUGGCCAGGUGUCUAACUUGUGCAGAGAGUAAAGAUAGAUGUACUCGCUAGCGAGUGAAGGAAAAAUAAAGAAGGCAACAGGACUAGCGGAAACGGCUUUGAGGGAGUGGAUAGCGAUACGGACACUGACCAAUUAUAGGGGCUCAUAGCGUGUGCCGAGAGAGUCACGUGACCUGAGUACGGUUCUCUCUGAAGGCUCUGUUUGGAGUUCAAUUUAUUUCCAUGGCACUUCAAUAUUUUUGCCUUUUUUUUCAAUUUUUAUUUUUCAAAUUUCAAUUAAGAUGAAAAUGGAAAAUCACCAAAAUUUCUUUUCUCACAACGUGGAUACUCUUUUCAUUCCAAAAAAUAAAUAUACAUUCUUUUUAUAUUUGUUCAAAACUAUAUAGCUGUAUUUCCUUUUUUACAAGAUGAUAAUCUUUAUAGUUUUUAUUUUACUCUUAUUUAAUAUGUAUUUUUGUCAAGAAAUAUAUUAUUAUACCAUUAAUCAAAAUAUUGAAAUAAAUUGAUUAUUAUUGGCUUUUAUAUUAAUGAAUUCCAUAAUUUUGAAAUAAGGAUAAUUAAUAGUUAAUAUAAGUAUAUAUCAAUAAAAAAUUAAGUAAAAAAUAUAAUUUAAUAAUAUUAGUUGUAUUUUAUUUAUCUAUGUAAAACUUAAAUUGGACCCAAGGGACUUUAUAGUUAAUUUAACUAUAAUUUUGGAAUCAAUUUGUAAAUCAAUUGACAAUUAAAAAAAGUUAUUUUGAUUGAAAAAACCAAAAUAUGUAAUGAAACUAUAAGUUAGAGACUUUGUCGUAAUUUUUAAAAAUAAAAAUAUUUGUAUAUUAAUUUAAUUAUAAUUUAGGCAUCAAUUUUUUAAUUUUUCUAUUAUGAUGAAAUGAGAAAAGUAUUAACCAUAAGAAUUAGAAAUUUCUUACCUUGAUUUAUUACAAACCAAUAAAUUUUAUUGACCGUGAUAAUAAGCUUUACGUCUAAUCUAUAAAGGUAAGGUUUUGUUCAUCUUACAAAUAUUUAUAAUGCUUAAAAGUUUGAUAAAUUCUCUAAGAAAUUAUUGAGUAAAUCGACUGUAUUACCUUUAAUUUAAUAUCAAUUCUCUAAGAAAACUAUUAAAUUAAAGUAAUAAUUAUUGGUAUUAUGCAAAAGGGAAACAUAGAAAAAAAGAUUUAUUACUCCUUCAAACCACAAAUGUGACAAGUAUUUUCGAGUAAACUAUUUUCUCAAAUGUGACAUGUACUAUAGAAUGGAUGUAGUAUGUAUCUCUAUAAUGAAAUUUAAUAAGUGAGCAUUAGUCUUUCAAAGAAGAUACUCUAUCCGUUUCAUUUUAAUAACAGUAUUUGAUCUUUUCACAGUGAUUAAAAAAAUGACUGCGACACAUUAAUUUUCUCAAAUAUAUGAUAAAAUGUCUAAAUUGUCAUUUUUAAAAUUAAAAGCUGCCAAUUUAAUUUUGUCAUAAAACACUUAAUAAAUAUGAGUAAAAUUGAAAAAAAAAAUUCAUAUACUCUCAAAAUCCUAAAUGAAUACUUAAAAUAGAACAAAGUAAAAUGUUCAUUUGUUACUAUUAAAAUGGAACAGAGGAAGUAUUAGUUUUGCAAAAAAGAAAAAGAAGACAUUAGUUUUCCAGAAAAGAAAGGAAAAAACAGAAGAAAUUAGUCUUGUAAAUUUUGUUCAUAAAUCACGUCUUCUCCAUUAAUUCAUAAAAUUGUUCUUCGUCACAGGGAUCCCAAUAGAGGGAAGACAUUAGUUUUUUUUAUUAUUAUAUUCAUUUCUAUAAAAUUUGAAUAAAAAUAUUUACAAAACUAAAAAAUAAAAUUCAUAAUAACAUCUAAAAUUUAAUUUUAUUAUUAAAUAAAAACGUAUUACACGAUAAUAAAAAUAAUAAUGAAUUUAUUAUAUAAAAUAAUGGUUCCCUAUUAAAAAAAAUAAACAAUAAUAAUUGUAACACAUAAAGUUAAUCCAACUUAUAUGAGAAUGUACAUGUUAAAAUUAAAUACAUAAAACAAGAAUUAGACUUAAGAUUAUAAUAUUUAUACAUAAACAUAAAGUAAAAUUUUAUGGAAUACUAAAAUUCAAUUACAAUUGAUAAUGAAUAAGAAGAACAAAUAUAGAAUAAUAUUAAUAUUUCCUACUAGAAUUGCAGAAGCUCUUGCAAUUCGUGAGGCAUUGAGUUGGAUAAAUUCCCACUCAUGGAGCUAUAUUAAAUUAGAAUAUGAUGCUGAAUUUUCACUUGUUUGGAACAAAUAAAUUCCAUAAAAUUUUGUGAAAUUCAUUGAGAAAUUUAUAUUUAUGUGUUUGGAAUAAAAAAAAAUGAGAUAAAUUUUAAUUCUAGGAAUUCAAUUCUAUGGAAUUCAAUAUAACUACACCAAAUUUCACAAAAACAGAUGAAAUUUUCAAAUGAAUUUCACAAAACUAAGUAAUUAAAAUUUUUAUGACAAAACUACCAUUCUCCUUCUACAAAGUCAAAUUUUCAAUUUUUCACUUAUUUAACUUAUUUAUUUUAUCAACUUGACCAAAAUCAUUUAAAAUUAUUUUUUAGAAAAUAUUUUCUUAUUAUUCUGUUUUUUUAUUUUAAUAUUUUUCUUCUUUUUAUUUUAAUAUUUUUAGCAUCUUUUUACUAUUGAGGAGAGAGAUUAAAGUUAAAUAUAUACUUAUCACCGAAUUAAACACAAUAAUUUUAUUAAUAUUUUUUAUUUUAUAUAUUUAUUUUUAAUAAAAAUAUAAAAAAUUAUAUAGCAUAAUAUAAAUAAAAUUGAUAUUAUAUUAUUUUUUUUUUGUGAAAUUUUACUAUUUCAAAGGAUAUUUGAGGAACAAAAGUUAUGAACUUUCAAUUAUGAAUUUAUUCCAUACAUGAUUACGUGGAAUUUAAUUGAUUAAUAUUUUUUAAUUAAUCAUACCAAAUAUAAAAAUGUAUUUACAAAUGAAUUAUAUUAGAAUUCAUUUACAAAUGAAUUCUAUAUUUUGAAUUCAUUUAUACGAAAAGAAUUCAUUUACAUGAAAUUUACAUGAAACAGCGCGCAUUAGCGUGAAUUCUAUCAAUGACUCCAUAUGAAGGGAUUUCUCUUUUUUUAGCUCUACCAUUACUGAUUCUAAAUCUCUAAUCACAAAAAUAACCAGUGUCGGUAUUCUUUUAUUUAUCAACUUGCGAAUGAUGUAGUUCAUAAUUUAGCUAAGGCAAUCUUAUUUUUGUCAACUGCACCAAUUUUAGUUUCACCUUUUAAUUGUAUUGAGGCUUGAUAGCUAUUAGUAAUGCAAUUUCAUAUUAUUUUCUAAAAAAAAUAAUAUUGAUAUUGAAUUGAAAUUAAUAGAAAUUAAAAUUAGUACAUCAACAAUCUCUCUCUAUAUAUAAGCUCAAUCAAAUUUAGUUACAUGACAUAUGAAACUUAAUUAUUAAUUAAUGAUGUGAAAUUUUAUUAUUUUUAACAUUUUUAUUUAAUUAUUUAAUUUGAAGAAAUCAAAUUAUAAGUCUUUUAAUUUUCUUUAUUCAAUAAUUAAUAACCAUCUAAUAAAUUUAUUUCAUUAAUAAAAAAAACUCUUUGUUUUCUUUCUUUUGCAAUAAUCAAUAGUCUAAGCCCCGUUUGUUACAGUUAUUUGUUUUUAGUUUUUUAUUUAUUAGAAACAUAAAGUUAUUUUCAAUGUUUGGUUACUUAUUUCUCAAAACUGUUGUUUUUUUUCUAAAAUUAUUUUUUUCUUUUUUUAGUUCAUGAUGUGAAAAAUUUUUCUAAUUAUCAAAUCUCUCCCUUAUUAAGCCAUUAAAGAUUUUAGUUAAUAAUAAAAAAAUCUAUGAAUAUAAAAUUUAAGACAAAAUAAUUAAAAAUAUUUCACACUUUAAUUUUUAAAUUUAAAGUUAAAUUAACUGUUGAUUAUUAUGUAUGCAAUCAAUUGAAUAAAAAUAUAAUAUCCAAGUUAUAAUAAACACAUAAUACUAAAUGACAUUAGAUUUAUAUGGAUAGAGAAAAUACUAAUAAUAAAUAUCUUAAUAAUACUAAAUAGAGAAGAGAUGAAAAAAAAAUCGUAAAAUUUUAAUAGAGAUAAUAAAACUAAUGCUUAUAUAUUUUGGAUAAAUGAAUGACAUUAGAUUUAUAUGGAUAGAUAAUAAUAAUAGUAAUAAUAAUAAUAAUAAUAAUAAUAAUACAACUUUAUAAGAAUAAGUCUUAUAAAAAAAAAGAGAAAUGUAGAAUAAAAAUAGAAAGCAUAGUUACAGAAAUCAUUAUUUGUGGUUUCAUAAAAUUUAUUUUUUGUUUUAAAAAAAAUUUCUAAAAAGUAAAAAAAAAAAUUAAACAAGUUUAAACAAACAAAUUUUGCUUAUUUUUUAAGGAAAAAAAUGAAAAAAAAACUUAAUUUAAAACAAACUGCACCUUAGUAAUUUAGAUUUUUUAUUAAUACUAGAAUACUAAUUAAUUUUUUCAAUAAUUAAUAACCACACUAUAAAUUAAUAUAGCAUUUUAGUAUUUUAUAAUUUACUUAUCUUCUUUUUUUUUUAAAUAAUUUCCUUUUGAGUACUGUGUAUAUGAUUGUACUACAUCUCCUAAAUUUAUCAUACAAAUUCUUAUUUUCUUUUUUAUAUUUAAUAUAUUUUUAGAUAAUAAAAAUGCAUACCUUGAACAAAAGACAUCUAUAAUUAACUAUUCCUAAAGUUUUUUUUCCUUUUCCAUUCAUGUAAUUGUAUGGUUUGAGUAAUUGUUUAAUUUGCAAAUUAGCUAAAAAUAUGAGUUUAUUGUUUUAAUUUAUUAGUGUAAAAUUCUUUUAUAAUUUUUAUAUGUAUAGAAAAAAUUGGAUUAGCAGUUUUUGUUAUCAUAGUCAAGAAUAAAAAAAAAGGCAUGAAUGACAAAUAUUAUUUUUUUUCAUCAUAUUAAUUUAUUUAUAUUUUUGAAUUAAAUUCGUAUCAAUUAUUUAUAAAUAUUAAUCCACAUCGUGCAAGCAAACGACUAAUUAAAUAAUAAUACAACAAGCAUCGAGUGUUUGAUGUAUCCUUAACGGCAAAACACACGAUAUCAAAAGUAAAGAAAUCCUUGACGGUGAAACUAAAUAAAAUUACAUAAUUAUAUAUAUUGUGGUAAUGUAUAAUAUAUAACUUUUAAUUAAGAUAUAUUAAAACUUUUACAAUAAGAUAAUAAUUCCUAAUAAAAAAACAAAAUUUUUGUAAUAAUUCUUAAUAAUAAAAAUAUGAUAAAACUCUACAAUAGGACAUGUGAAAUAUCUCAAUUAGAGAUAUAUUGAAUUUCUCAUUUUAGUAAAUUUAUAACUAUUUUGUACACUAUUAAAAAUUUUUUAUCUUUAUUACUUUUUAUUUUAUCUUUUAGCCAAUAAAAUAUAAAUUUUUACAUAUGAAAUUUUUAUUUUUUCAAGCAAUUAAAUUAAAAUCUUUAAAGAUAUUUUUGUUAAUUUAUAAAUUUAACAAGCUACUUUUAACUAUAUCAAUAUUCCAUUUCCUUUUCCCACUUUUAUUUGUCAUAUAUAAAUUAUAAAUAUAAAAUAAAAUUUACUUUCAAAUUUAUAUUUCUUCUUUUUUUGGUAUAUAUACUCAUAAAUAUCUGUAAUUUUUACAUGAGAUUAAUCUCCUUUUUGAGAUUUGUGUUUACCUCUAUUUAUAAAUACUUUUGAGAUCUAUUUCUUUUAACUGGAGACAAUAUUCCAUGUAUUUUUAAAUUUUUUUUCUUUUAUUAUAAAUUAUAGUAUUAUAUAAAAUAACAUUUGUACUAUCAUAAAAUUUUCCCUCUUACUUAAAAAAAUCCAGCAAUUAAUUUUAAUUAAGAAGACCUCUAGAAAAUCUCUAAUGUCACUAAUUUUUCUAAACAAACAGUCCUUUAUAUUUUCUCUCUCUGUCACUGUCUCCAAACCUUUUCAUAAAGAGAGAAACUUGUAACGUCAUUUUGAAACCAGAGCCCUCCCUUCUCUACUACUUUCUCUCUAUUCUCUACUCUCUACUCUCUACAGUCUCCUCUCCAAAAAUCGAAAAAAAUCCCGCUUACAACCGUCGAACUCUCUUGCUCUCUACACCUAUAUUUCAAACAAACAUACCCUCUUUCUCUGUUUUUAUCUUUGCCUUUGUUAGCAAUGGCGGAGUUUCCUCCAAAUUUGGAUGACGGAGAGCUAUAUCUUCCGUCUGAUAUUUUUCUAACUGAAGUACCCUCUAAAUAUAACCCAUAUCGUCUUUCUUGCAUGGAAGAUCUUGCUACUCAUUUCGCUUCUCUCUCUUUACUUAAAAAUCAACCAUCUUCAACCCCUUCAAGACCUCCUCCCAAACCACCGUUAAAUUAUCAGGUGAUUUGAGCAUUACCAGUUUAUUUUCUUUUUAUUUUUUUAAUGUUGUCAUGCAUGCUUGUCUAACUGGUGUUUUUGGCUCUAUUUGGUGUAUUUGUUUCGUUGUAGAAGGUAAAAAUGGCGGUUAGGGAUUUAUCGGCGAACCAUUUGCCAGCUGGGCAUGUUGGUUUUAAUGGCGGUGGUGGUGUUGCUGGUGUUGAGAUCGGUCAAAGACUUUACGGGUACGGAAACGGUUCCUUUUUAGCCCGGUCUGAACCGUUUUACGAAUUUCAAGUCCAGCCACAGGUGAGUAAACAGGAACAUAAAUCCGGUUCUGUUAUCUUUUUAUGGGUUGUCCUAUCAAAGGUCUUUACUUUUUGGCAGCUUUAAUAAUAGAUAUUAUAUUUACACUUACAGGGGCCUUAAAAAAAAAUUGAUGGGUUGGUUGUCAUGUAUAGGUUGAUAGCUACUUGGACACAAGGCCUAUGCUUUUGCAAAGGCCACGAACCCCAAUUCAGAAUCGGGUUUACCCAUUUCGAGGAAGUGGGUUUGAAUUUGGUGGCGGUGGUGGUCGUAGAGGGAGAGAAUCUGGAGGGACUGGUGUUUUUCACCCUCGUAUUGUCCAUAACUCCACAAAUGACUCUCCUUUUAAUGCUGAUUAUAAAAGGAAGCAAGGUGAGUUGGCUUGCUUUUGUUGGUAAUCUUGGUUUGUUUAGUUUUUCUUAAUAUGGUUUCUUGAUAUAUGGCCUUUGUUGGUGAUUGGGUGUUUCUAAUACGAGUUUCAGGUCAAGAUGGUGUAAAUGCAUAAGAAUACUUAUUUAUAGAAAAUAAAAUUGAAACACACUAGAAAUGUUAAACUUCAUUUGUGACUUGUAUCAUUUCUUGCAAUUUGUUUGUUUUUAAUAAUCAAAGUUUUAGGUGUGUGUAUGGGAUUUAUGUUCCAUGGGGUGUGUCCCCUAUAAUUUUGAGGUUGUGGGGUCCUAAACUCUAGCUUUUUGGGCUGAAAUAAGUUCUUUUGUGCUUUUGGAAGUAUUAAACUAAAAAUGGUGGCUAUAAUUCCUUCUUUAACUGACUGAACCUGUAAUUUGGGGUUAUGCUCAUGCUUCCUUUAGUGGGUAUAAACUAGCUUGUCAAAUUUAUUUUUAUGGAGUAAUCGGCCAUUGGAUUAUUAUCAGCUGUUAAGUGUCAUUAUCAAUAAGACUUGAAAUCAAAUCUCAAGAAAAUUGCUAAUAUGUCUGGGAUUUUUCUUGACUAAAAUUCCAUCUUUUUUAUAUAUAUUAUAAUAAAUGUCAUUAUCAAUAAGACUUGAAAUCAAAUCUCAAGAAAAUUGCUAAUAUGUCUGGGAUUUUUCUUGACUAAAAUUCCAUCUUUUUUUAUAUAUAUUAUAAUGUAAAAUUUCACUUCCUAAUGGAUUAAGAGUUGAUGUUUUUAUUCACCUGUGUGAGGUGAGGUUUUGGGGCGGCUUAGUAUUGUGAUUGACAUUGUUUUUGGGGAAAAAAGAAAAUCUUUUUAGAUGCUUUUGAGAGAAAAUAGUUUUGAGUGUCUUGGUGUUGCUAUUUUGAAGUUUAUAUUAUUAAUAUUUGUAAAAAUUAUCUUAAAAAUAAAUUUAAUGAUGUUUCCUAAAUCAUUUUUAGCAAUCUUUUUUCCCUAGUAACAGCUCAAACGGUAUUUGCUACAUUCAAAUUCCCUCCCAUAAUAUCCCCCAUUCCCCCCCACCCAAAAAAAAAAAAAACAGCAAUGCCUAACACACUCAUUUAAAAGAACAAAAAAAAAAAAAAAAAAAAAAGGAGCCAUGAGCUUUUCUUUUUCUUUUAACUGUUUUGUAGAUAGAGACCAUUGAGCUGUUUGGUGAUUAAAAUGUUGAACAUAACAAAUGUAUAAUAUGUAUGUCUUGUAUGGACCCAGAUGAUAAUGCUAUGUUCUCUUAUUAUUUUAUGAAGCUCUGUACUGGCAUACUGCAAAUACAAAAGAGGAAAAAAAAAAUCUGUAAAAGCUAUAUUUGCUUUUCUGGUAAUUGUCAGGACUCAGUUGCAUAAUAAGAAUGCUCUCUUUAAUUGCUGAGAGUUUCCAGAUACGAUUAUGAUGGUCAUGCGUACAUACAUACAUACAAAUAUCUAAGAAAUUAAUAUAAAAGAAAGUGGAAGAACAAAAGAAUAUUUGCAUUAAUGAUUUUAAACCCUCUGAUAGUUCUCUAAUCUGAUGUUUCACUUAUAGUAUAUUCUCUUAAAUUCUUGACAGGUGUGAGAAAUAAACAGGAAAUUCAAGUCAAUAGUCAACAGAGAAACUCCAUGAGAAGGGUUAGCAAGGAAGAGGAUUGUUAUUAUCAUCUUCCUCCAGAGAUGGGUUUGCCUCAAGACUGGACUUAUUGAGCUUAUCUUCUCCAAUUUCAGUGUAGAAGAAGAAAAUGAUUAGAAUAAGACCUUUGAGGAGAAGAAUAGAAGAAAGUUAAAUAAUUUGUAGGAUUUUGUGUGCAGUGCAGUGAAGGUAAAGAGAAAUAGGUAGAGAUUAGCAGAGAAAAAGGUAUGUUUAGUAUGUGUUUUAUGCUUGAAAGCUUUGUAGAAAUAAAUAAUGUCUAAGCUUUUGGUUUGGAGUGAAUUAUUAUUAAAUGGCCAAUACUAAGCAUUGAUGGAAGAAUAAUCAUUGAACAUAGCUCAAAGCUGGGAAGUGAAUUGUUGCCUUUAGAACUGUAAAAUAACAUACUUGAACUCUCCUUGAAGUUUAAAUAAAAAUAUAUGUUUCCUUUCUAAUUCUUUUUGAGUGAAUUUAAUGAUAAUAACCAAUAAACAUUGAUUGAAAAAAUCGAAACUUACCUAGUAAGUCGGAAAUUAUUGAUAACUGCAUGAAUUAAUUAGCCAAAAAGACUCGAUUGAAUUUUAUUUCCCCAAAAAUCAAAUCUUACCAAGUACUAAUUCUUAAUGUAUGGCUAGUCAAAAUACUAUUUUUUUUUUUGCUUUUGCUGUUGUACAAAAGAUAUGAUUUCUGUGUUUAUAAAGAAAGUCUAGUCGGUUUACAUGUGUUAAUGAAACCUACAACUAUAGAUUACCUAACCAAUUAAAUUUAUUAUCUAUCUAAUUUUUAUAUUUUCGUACUCUUCUCUUCCUUUUCUAUUCUUUUCAUUUAUGAGUUUUACUCGUAUCAAGUUUUUUUUAAUCAAUAUAUCAAUUAUUGUAAUCAUUAUUAUCUAUGAUCUAUAUUAUAUGUAAAAGUACGAAUGAAGGAGAGAUUGAGUUUUUAAAAUGCCCUUGCUAAAUUUAUGAAUUUACAAAGAUAUCAUUACUAAUCAUCUUCUAAUUAUGAUAUCAAUUUAUUAUUUUUGUUAUAUUAAUGUUAUAAAUUUAUUUUCAUUUUAGUUAGAAAUUUGUCCUCUCAUACCACUAUAUAUAUGUUUAAUUUUUAUUGCUUUGGACCUUUUGACUAUCAAAAAUUGUUACAUCGAGUUUUUACUAGUUUAAAAUUAUUGAGUUUGCAAUCAUGUCUUCUUGCGGUGAGUAUUAACCUUAACUCUCUCUAUUUACAAAUUGAUAUAAUAGUUUUUAUUUAUAGUUCUUAUAAUUUAGAUUUAUAGAUUUAUAAAUUAACUGUAAUUAUUUAAUAAUCGUGAAUAAUUACAAGUUUAAAAACUUUUCCUUCUGAAUAGUAUUAUCAUAAAAUAUUUUAAAGGGACGAACCCUCCAAUUAGAAAAUUUUUAAUUUUAUUUAUCGAUUAAAAUUAUAUAAUAAUUUUUAAGUAGAUUGAUUAUAUUAGUUUUCUUGAUCAUAUUAUUUUUAUUAAUUAACAAAUCUUAUUUCAUUAUUUCCAUUGCUAAGAGCUGACGAAGGUUCUACAGACGUGUUAGCAACGGAAUUCUUUUUCAUUUUUAAAGUUACAACCUAAAUUUAUUUUUUCGUCCCUUGCUGAGUUGGUUCUAUAAACCGUUUAGCAACGGAAUUUUUAUCCGUUGCUAAAAUUAUAACCAUAGCUCAAAACCUAUUUUCACUUCCCUUUCUCAUUUCUUCCUCCUUUUAUUUUAUAUUUUAUUAAUAAAAAUUUAAAUUUUUUUAGAUUGUAAAAUUAAUAUUUAGUAAGAUAAUAUCUUUUAUUUUUUAUUUUUUUAGCUUCAAAUAUCUCGAUAAAAAUAAGAUAGUUGAGAGAAUUACAAUAUUUAAAUUAUAAUAUAAUAAUCAUAAUUUUUUUGCAUGUAUAAGAAUUUCAAAUUAUAUAUAUAUAAAUUGUGAAUGAGGGAAAAAGUUGAAUUCCUAAAAUGCCUCUGCAGACUUUUAAUUUAAUUAGUUGAUUGAAGAAUAAUUUAGUGUUAUUCUAGUUAGGAGACUUUUGAAAUUUCUGUACAUAUAAAAAUACUAUGAUUUAAUAUCUUAUAAUUUAAAUAUAUUAUACUAUAAAAUAUUAAAUUUAUUAAUCCCUUAUUAGUAGCUCUUUUUUUGUUAAUUUUAUUGGUAUUUUAUUAGUUUUAUUAGUAACUCUAUUUUAUUAAUUUUCUUGAUAUUUUAAUAGUUUAUUAGUUAAAAAUAUCAUUAAAAAUAAUUUACUCCUAUUCUAAUUAGAAAACUUUUGGAAUCCCUAUACAUAUAAAAAUACUAUGAUUUAAUAUCUUAUAAUUUAAAUAUAUUAUAAUAUAAUAUAUUAUAAGUUUAAUCUCAUUCUAAUUAGGAAUUUGACUUUACUCCUAUUCUAAUUAUGAUAUCAAUUUAUUAUUUUUAUUAUUUUAAUAUGAUAAAUUUAACCUCACUCAAAUUUGUCCUUUAAUACUAUUAUAAUUAGGAUUUUGUCCUAUUAUAUCACUAAAUACACGUUUAGUUUUAAUUACUUUUGAGUUUUGACUAUUAAGAAUUUGUUACUCUUAACUAUCACAAAUUUAUUGCUUUUCACCAUUAAGAAUCAUUACAUCAACCUUUGCUAAUUUACAAAUAUUGAAUUUGCAAUCAUGUCUUCUUCUUGCGGUAAGUAUAAUAUUAACUUUCUCUAUUUACAAAUUGAUAGAAUAAUUUUUAUUUAUAUUUAUUAAGUAUGUUCUAGCAAUCACGGAUUAAACUAAGUUUAAUCUAAUUCGAAAUAAGAAAUUAUUAAAGAUUUUAAUUUUAUUAAUUGAAAAAUAAAGAUAAUUUAAUUAUUAAGGAUUUUAAUUUUUUAUUUAAAUAUAAAUUUUAUUGAAUAAAAUAAUAAAUUACAUUAUAUAUUAUAUAAGAUAUAUAUGGUAAAAAUAUAAAACUUUAAGGAUUUUAAUUUUAUUAAUUGAAAAUAAAGCUAAUUUAAUUAUUGGAAAUAUAAAAUUUACUAAAACCAAUCUGAUUAUGAGUUGUAAAUCAAAAUAUAAAAUUAGAUAGAUAAGUGGAAGGGUGAAAGAAAGAGAGAAAGAGAGAAAAAGAAUAUCAAUGAUAUAUGAUUCUAAUAUGUAAGGUCUAUGAGUCAUCACAUAAAAAUUAUAAAAAUUAAUGUAAUAAAGCAGCAAUACCAAUUGAUUUAUAAUUAAACUAAUCUGUUCAUAAAAAAAAAAAAAAUCAAGAGCCUCGAGUUAAUAAAGACUAAGCAGAUUGACGCAAAGACAAGCUUCAUUAGAGGCUCCAUUGUAAAAUUAAGACCUAAGCAUUAAUGAAGAAGCGAUGGGAACGACGGAACCUAUAAUAUUUUAUUGAUUUAUUGAAAAAAAAAUCAUAAUAAUAUUGCUUUUGGCGGGGUAGAGCGAAAGGUACCAGAAGACUAAUUUAGUUAGAGAUCAUACCCAGACUAUCUCUACAAAUGAAAUAAAUAUUGAAAGAGUCAAUAUUCGCGCGCGAAGUUUUUUUUAUAUUCUAAAGUAGAAUUUUUUCUAUUAGAAUUAUGAUAUCAGAAUUAUGAUAUCAGAUUGCUCAAAUUUAGAA